RNAcentral lists this long non-coding RNA (45713 nucleotides) under Fragaria vesca (wild strawberry). RNAcentral's name for it is "long non-coding RNA (FVES_LNC000719)". Lineage: Eukaryota; Viridiplantae; Streptophyta; Magnoliopsida; Rosales; Rosaceae. The record is from RNAcentral.
UCACUAAAUCUAAUAUAUUGAUAUACAUCUAUAUACUUUCCAACACCCCUCUCAAGUUGGAGAGUGGAUGUCAAGAACUCCCAACUUGCAUAAGAGAGAUUUGAACUUCUUCUUUCCCAAAGCUUUAGUGAACACACCCGCCAAUUGUUGUGAGGAAAUAACAUGUCGAGUAACAAUUUGGCCAUGUAAAAUUUUAUCUCGAAUAAAAUGACAAUCCAUUUCAAUGUGUCUUCUUUCAUGAAACACCGGAUUUACAUUAAUAUGCAAGGCUGCUUGAUUAUCACAGUGUAAAACAACAGGACCCAAAAUAGGCAUAUGCAAAUCUGAUAACAAAUACCAUAACCAAGUGAGUUCACAACAUGUACCUGCCAUUGCUUGAUAUUCAGCUUCUACACUUGAUAAGGAAACAGUUUUAUGCCUCUUUGUCCUCCAAGAGAUUACGGAAUUACCCAAGAAUACACGAUAACCAGUAGUAUAACGACGAGUAAUAGGACAACCCGCCUAAUCAAAAUCACAAAAAGCUCUCAAUUUCAAUGAAUUAUUUGACUUUAGAAGCAAACCUUGGCCUGGAGCUGAUUUUAAAUAACGUACCACUCUAAGGGCAGCCGCCAUGUGUGGUUGACGUGGUUCAUGCAUAAAUCGAUUAAGAACAUGUACUGAGUAUGUGAUGUCGGGUCUGGUGAUGGUUAAGUAAAUUAAUCGACCAACCAAACGAUGGCAUGCAGCAGGGUCUUUGAGCACUUCUCCUUUGUUUGAAAGCUCACAUUCUUCCAUAAGAAAUUCAACCGGUUUAGCACCCAAGUAUCCACUGUCUUUAAUAAUCUCCAAGGCAUAUUUGCAUUGGGAUAUGUAAUUCUCUUUCUUUGAAUGAGCUAUUUCAAUGCCUAAGAAGAAUUUCAUAUCACCAAGUUCUUUGAUACGAAAACGAGAAUGUAGAAACUACUUUAAAGCAUUAAUUGACUCAAUAUUGUUUCCUGUGAUCGAUAUAUCGUCUACAUAGAUCAAUAGUACAGUGAGAGAUGUACCAUCCUUUCAAACAAAUAAGGAAUAAUUAGCUGUAGAUUGAGAAAAACCAGCAGCAAGAAUAGCCUCUAUGAACUUAGAAAACCACUGUCUAGAGGCAUGUUUAUGUCUAUACAACGACUUGUGAAGGCGACACACAAGGUUCUUCUCCUGUCGCCAAAGACCAGGAGGAGGUGACAUAUAUAUUUCUUAUAAUAAAUCGCCAUUUAAGAAAGUAUUAUGAACAUCUAACUGAUACAAAGACCAAUUCUGACUGGCAGCAAUAGCAAGAAGAAAAUGAACAGUUACCAUUUUUGUUGUGGGAGAAAAUCUGUAAUGGUAAUCGAUGUCAGCAACUUGAAUAAAAUCUCAAGGAACAAGACAAGCCUUAUAUUGCUCAAUAGAACCAUCAGCCUUGCGCUUAAUGCGAUAGACCUACUUGCAACUGAUUGGACGUUUUCCAUGAGGUAAAGAAACAAGACUCCAUGUCUUAUUUUCGAUAAGAGCUUGAAGCUCAGAAUUCAUAGUCUCGCGCCACUUGGGAUCGGCUACUGCAAUUUCAUAAGAUGUCGGUUCCUCAUCCCGACUGACAUUAGCAACAUAUGUGAGGUGUGUAGGAGAACACUGAUCAUAAGACAAUUGAGUUACAAAGAGGGUACCUCAUACUAUGUUGCCGCUGGAAAAUAAAUCUAAUGACACAAAGUGUCAUCCUAUCAUUUGACCAAGCAAAAGAUGUGCCGCCAACCUAGAACAGAUAAGGCACACAAGGUGCAUAGCCGGCACAAAGCCCUUUUUGCCCUACCAUUUAGUGAAAAUGUAUUAUUGAAGGCAGAAAGCUGCACAAUACUAGAAUUAAAAUGCAAUAAAGCGUAAUUAAAACAUAAUAAAAGUGCACAAAUGUAAAAUAGAAAGGACCCAAGGUCAAGCCCUAAACUCAAUUCAUAAUAGUCUCAAACAAGCCCACAGCUGGACUAAGGUCAACCAGGCCCUGUCCUUAAUCUUAGCCCAUGCAAACUUCUGCACAUGCAGCCUAACUACUACCAGCAAACCCACAACCAUGUAUGGUCGCCACCACAGCUGUUGGAUCCCAACCACCGUCGAAAUCUCAUCUUCGACAGAGUCCCACCGCAAUAUCCCCACAACCCCAACCUGCAUGAGCGAACCUCCACGUCCUUAAGCAACACAAAUCGAGUUCCGACCUCAAUCUGUGGGUGACGAGAUCCGAAAGGACGAGCCAAGAAACCACAACCCAGAUCGGGCAUCACAAUGAAUAUUGCAUCGAGAUGCUGCAUGAAUUGAUCAAUCACCCCUAUCUUCCACGAGCCAUCUACAUAUGCUGCCACUGCAAUCGAUUUUGAACAAGAGACAACAAGAACCUUCUCAACCCCAUCCAAUCAUUGGAGCAUGCUCCAAUAGUAGCAGCCCGUCUAGCCGCACUCGACGAAUGCCAACAAGGCCAGAGGCUAACGCCAACACUGAUGCGCAACCAGAUGAGAGCAAGUAAGACAGACGACAUCUAGGAUUUUAGAAAAGCGUGUAGAGCACCUUUUGUGUUUAGUAUUUAGUCUAAUGAGGAAAUUUUACUAAUGGUACCCCAUAUAACAUCCAUUCAUCAUUAUGGCAUAUGACAUUUCAAAACUAUAAUAUUGGUACCCUAACAUGUAAAGCUGACAUAAAUUUGAUACCUUCCAUCUCUAACAGUGUCAAGUCGACUGCUACAAAAGUUGUUUCAUGGGCAAUUAUGUCUUUUUAUUUUUCUUGACAUUUUCCCUCUCUCCCUCUUCCUCCGCCGCACACAGCCAGCACAUGUUCUCAUCUACAUAUCUAUUUAAUCAGACACAAAAUUGCUGCAAACUGAACCUUCCUCUUCUUGUUUUUCAUUGUUUUCUUCUUGUACUUGCAAUAGUUCUCCAACAAUUAAAACUCCCCCAAAAUUCAGAAUCCAAAUUCCAACUAAUUACAAAACUUUGUUGUUUCUCUAGUAAACAAUUCCCAAUUUUUCGAUCUCCAUUCCAAGUUUCCAACCCAACCCAAUGGAGAAUUCGACCCAAGAAUCCCCUAUACUAUAACUCAUUGGCUCUAUUAGAGAUUGUUGUUUAGGUUGGUAAUUAAGAAAAGUAGUUGUAGAAGAAGCACAAGUAGUAAAAUUUGUGAAUCUAAAUAUUAAAAUAAGUUCAUGCCACCCAUUUUAAUGGGGCAUGGGGUUCACUAGGAUACAAAGAAAGACAUACUCUAGGUCUCUGAUUGUCGAAUCUUGUCAGACUGCCUCAAGAUUCAGUACUUUUAGAAGAGAGUGGCAGCAAAACAGCCUCUGUCGUCAAAGAAAAUUGUAUCAACCAAGGAGACGAAAAUACCCCUUUAAAAGUAUAGAGUUAACGCCAUCAUUGACAGCAAAUACUAAAAGUGGUUUCUGUUCCAUUGUUUGAGUACCAAUAUAAUAGUUUUUAAAUAUGGUGUAUUGAAUUGAUGAAUGACCUUUAUUUGAGGUAUGGUUUGUAAAAUUUCCUCUUAGUCUAAUUUACGAAUUUAUCGAUUAAUUAAUAGAUUGUUAGAAUUAAUAAAUUUUGGCAUUUGUGAUCGAUGUUAUCCAUUUAAGGAGAUUUCAGUCAUUUAAUUGCAUUAGAACAUCUCCAACAGCUUCCCCAAAAAUUCUCUAAAAUGGGAAAGCAAAUGCUAAAAUCUUCAAAAAAAUUAUGCUUAAAAUUCAACAGCUUCUCCAUUUUAGAAAUUUCGGCAUUUAAUACAACAAUAAAAUAUAUUAUAUCAUUAUUAAUUAUAACAAAAAAAUUAUAAAAUUCAUUGUAACAAUAAAAUACCCAAUAAAAUAUUCUAUUGUUGUCUUGAAUUCGUUGGAGCACAUAAAGAAUUUAAUUUUGGGAAAUGAAAGUUUUGUUGCAAAUUUAGGGAAUGAAGAUUUCUCUCUUUUCUCCAUCCCCAUUUUGGAGAAUGAGAUGACGAAGCUGUUGGACCUAAAAACAGUUCUAUAUCCCCUAAAAUUGAGAAGUUCAAGAAAAUUAGGAAGUUGUUAGAGAUGCUGAUAAAGUCCACGACUGUAAUGUUUGUAUUUUUUUUUCAUCGAAUAAAAAGAAAAAGAAAGGCAAAAGAAAUAGAAACCAAGUCAUUUUACAUUUUUACUCAUCCGGCAGCCCGAAACAGAAACCCCAAGUCAUUUCAUUUCAACCAGAGUCUUCAUCCUUCUCCUCUCUCUCUUCACUCUCUCCCUAUUCCGAUCCAGUUCCAUGGAGUCCCUCCCCCGCGACGCCCUCCACCACAUCUUCUCCCUCCUCCCCCUCCGCCAGAUCAUCAUCUGCCGCUGCGUCAGCAAGCACCUCCACCACCUCCUCACCUCCCCCUCCUUCCUCUCCUCCCCCUCCCCUCCCCUCCACCUCCUCGCCCUCCGGCCUCCCCACCACCGCCACCACCACCACCACCUCUCCUCCCUCCACCUCUUCGACCCUUCCCUCCACCGCUGGCUCCGCUUCUCCCUCGACUUCCUCCCCUUCCGCUCCCCCCACCCCGUCGCCUCCUCCUCCGGCCUCCUCUACCUCUGGGCCGACUCCCCCUCCGACUCCUCCAAGUCCCUCCUCCUCUGCAACCCCCUCACGCGCCGCUUCCGCGCGUUGCCCCAGCUCGGCUCCGCCUGGUCAAGACACGGCUCCGUCCUCGUUGACUCCGCCGGACGCGUCAUGGUCCUCACCGAGCUCGCCGCGCUCUACUUCUCCGCCGGAGAGGACGACCGCUGGCUCAAAUUCUCCUCCAAUCUCCCGUCCAAGCCGCGCAGCCCGAUCCUGGCGGCGGAGGAGUCGGUCUUCGCUCUCUGCGACGUCGGCUCGCCGUGGCGGAGCCAGUGGAAGCUCUUCGCCUGCACCGUUUCGAAGCUGCGGAGCUCGCAGCAGUGGACGAGGCUGGAGAAGCCGGAGUGGGGGGACGUGUUUGAUAUCUUGAAACGGCCGCGUUUGGUGAAAGGAAAUGGCAGCAAGAUUCUGAUGGUUGGCGGUUUGAAGUCGUCGUUUUCGCUCAACUCGUCGUGCUCGACGAUUCUGAUACUGAGGCUCGAUUUGGAGAGCUGGGAGUGGGACGAGGCCGGGCGGAUGCCGGUGGAGAUGUUUAAGUGUUUUCAGGAGUGUAGCAAGUUCAAGGUGUUUGGUGGAGGCGACAGGGUUUGCUUUUCGGCCAAGAGGUUGGGGAAGUUGGCUUUGUGGGACAAUUGUGAAGGGAAAGCAGAGUGGAAGUGGAUUGAAGGCGUUCCCGGGAGUGGCGAUGGGCUUUGCAGGGGGUUUGUUUUCGAGGCCAGGCUUACCCCAUUGCCUUGAUCAGUUCAGUCAAGGUUUCGGCUUGUGAUGCGAGCUAGAGGUUGGUACUUGUUUACUGAAAAAAACACUCCAUUGUUGUUGUAUUAUCAUUGAAUUCAAGAACCUGUGGUAUUGUUAUUUGAAUUCGUUAGUGCAAAUGUCUAGGUAAAUAUUUUGAAAUUGUUACUCCUGUAUGUUUUCUAUAUUAGCCUCGUUUUAUGUGUCAGCUAUUAGCUUUAUGAACUUGGCAUCAUUUGUCUCUGCAAUUAGCUUAGCGAGUGACCUAGCUCUAGUUAUGUGAAACAUUUAAGUAGAUAAGAUGCUAAUGAAAGAAAUCCAUAUCGGUUAGGAAGAGCUAAACAACUUUAUUCUGCUUUUGUUCUAUGCGUCUACACUAAUAGUGAUUAAUCCUUUGGUUCCCUGUAUGUUUUUCACUCGAUGUCUAUGCACUCUAAAACUAGUUAGUUCAUAAUUGUGGGCUUCUUCUUUAGUUUCAACUAAGGCUGCAGCAUUCUAGAGCACUUCCAGGAAUGGCAUCAAUACACUGCCACUCUGCUAGUAUCAACCGGCGUCCUAGAUUCAUUGAUUUGAGUCGGUUUGGAUAUGUUGUGAAUGAUAUGUAGACAUGUAGGUAAGGAGUGUAGUCCUUAUGCAGAACCUAGAGCACCAUAUAACUCUGGUUUGAUUCUAUACAUGUGUGAGCCUUCAGUGCUUGUUUGAAGUCGGAAAGUCUGAUUGUUGAUUGAAUUGCUUGUAAGGUACAUUUCAUCCGUUUGCAGUAGGAACGUGGUGUAAUUCUUGAGUUUCACUCAUGAUUCCAUCAAAUCUUGCAUGUCUAUGUCCUAUAGUUGUUUAGGGUGUUGAAGUAAGGCUUUCGUAUUCAAAUGCUAAUUCAAGCUAGCAUUUUGGAGGCUGUGGGUCAUUACAAAUGGUAUUUAAGUUUCCCCAAGUCACUACAAAUACGUGAGUUGAUUUACUUGGUAUAAGGUAAAUGGUCAGCAGGAAAACAUUUCCAGUAGUAUAUUUGAUACCUUUCCUGGCAUGGUCGACAUGGCAUAAAGGAGGGGAGAGUAAAGUCUCACAUCAGGUAUUUGUUGGAAAGAUCUAGGCUUAAAAUAAGGCACAGAACCCGAAUAUCUAUAAUUAGAAUAAGUCAUGUAAUUCUUGUCCUGAGAACUUGGAAGCUUGAAUAAUUUGAUUUAAUCAGAUUUAUAUGUUAUUGUAUUGCCAUGAAAUGUUGGGCUAAAUCCCACAUGCUGAACUCAGACAGUUCUGCAAACCCAAAGACAGUUGUAUGUUUGAGUUCUGCAAGAAGUCAUUUGCAGUUGGUGCAAAUUAAAUUGUAAAACUUAGAUUUAGAUCAUCCAAAUCAAAUGGAGCUUCCAAGUUUUUUUGUUUAAACAUGGAAAAAUAUUGAACCAUGAAGGCCCUCCGGCACUCUUGUUGAGUUGCAUGGGGUACCCACGCAGUCACGAGCAAUGCUUGCCCACAUGCAUCCUUGAGCACCUGCAAAACCUAUACGUAUGCAUGUGGGAUCCCAUUUGAUGCUAGCCUAGUUGUAAUAUCUAACCUGCAGAUUCUUAUUAUUCAUGCUGUCACCUACAUUGCAAUGGCCAACACAGGACUCUUUGAUCGGAAGAUUCUGUGGUCAGUUUUAGGGCCGGGCAUUUAACCGAAUGUGUGCAAAAAACCAACCGAACCGAAUCGAAAAAUCGAAUCGGAUAACCGAACCAAAACAUUUAGGUCAAAACUAGUAGUGAACCAAACCGAACCGGUUUAAAUCGGAUUGGAUCCGGUUCAAGCUCUUAAACAAACCAAAAAUAACCGAACCGAUCUGAAUUAUAUAAUGUGUAAAUAUAUAUAAUUUAUAUACUUGAAAUAUUAUUAUUAUUAGUUGAUUUCAUCUCUAUUUACAGUUUACUCACACACUUAAUCUCUCCAUAUAAAAGACAAUUUCUCAUUCAACUCAUUUCUUGGAAAAAUCUAUUAGUGUAGAAAAGAUUGGGAGUGCAUUGGAUUGAUUGUUGUACUUUGAGUUUAUAUAUUUUCUUAUAAAAAAAAACAUGUUAUUCAAGUUAAAAACUUGUAGUUCAACUUUACAUAGGCCAAAAGUUUUUCAAAUAUGGACCAAAACCGAAACCAACCUGAACCGAUCUGAAAUUCAGAUGGGCCGAAUAUUCGGGUCAAAGGUUUUAAACUCCGGAUUUGGUUGAAAAAAACCUUAACCGAAUAAUUUGGAUUGGCAGUUUUGGUUUCGUCCUAAAACCGACCCGAACCGAAGAUGCCCAGCCCUAGUCAGUUUUUUGGCCAACAGCUGUAGAAAAUAAGGUGAAUGUGUAUAAUUGUUGAUCUCAUUCUUUUUUUAUUUAUAUGUUCUUUCCAAAUAUAAAAUCUGCAGUUAUCACCUUUUUAUUUGUAUUGUGGGCUUGAACAUUAAACAUUUCUUUUCCUUUUGCCUUUGCUGCACCUAAUAAUUUAGUUAAUCUCUAGGCAACUGCACUGGAUUGAACAUGAGUGUGUUAGUUGAUGUAAGCACCAUUUUGGCUACACCAUCACGAGCAAAUAACAUUGGUAUUUGGAGGGAAAAGUUCAUGAAUUGUACUUAGUCUCUCUUAUGCUGAAGUAAUUAUUGGGACAGACCAAAAUAGAAUGGCUAAAAUCCACUGUAAUUUGUUUUUCCUGAAUGUGAAACUUCUAGGAAGAUGUCCGGAAUCUCUAUGCAAAUGGCGAAUUGAAAUUUUUUAUGUUCUGAUACUUGGCUUCAAAUGUGGGCUGGAAUUUUUUAAUUUAUUUAAUUCAUUUGUGUUUUCAUUUUCUGCACUGAUUGUCAAUUUAUGAGUGUGGUCUUAUACUUUCUCUUCUUCAUUCAUAUAUUUGAUGUACCAGUACCGCUGAAUGGAUUACGACACAUUCAUAAUGGAUUUAUCAUCAGAAUUUCUGCUUAUGAGAUGAUAAACCAUUCUAAUAUCAGAGCACAUUUGUUUGGUUUGUCUCUUGUCUACAAUAUGUUUUUUUUUUUUUCCGACAAAUUUGUCUGCAGUAUGUUUUGAUCCUUGCUUUGAUAUUUAAUAAACCACCUAUUCGAAAUGAUGCAGCUUCCAUAAGCUGGAUCUUCUUUCUUUUGGCAAAAGUGCAUUGGUAAAGUUUAAACAGAUUGUUAUGAACAAAUAUGGAUGGCUAGGUUAAGUGAAUCUAUAGCACCGAUUUGUUUCCUCAGCUUUAAUUGUUUGUUGCUCUUGUUCAUUGGGAUAACAUAAUGCUAUAAGGACUAGGGUAAUAUCAUUAGUCAUGACAAACUCAAGGUUUCCAGCUUCUUAUAUGUACAAAUAACAAGUGACUGAUCUGGCAUGCUAUGCAGCUCCCAUAAGCUGGAUCUUCUUUCUUUUGGCAAAAGUUCACUGGAUAGUCUAUACAGAUUGGUAUGAACAAAUACAGAUGGCUAGGUUAGGUGACUCCAUAGCACCAUUUUGUCACCCCAGCUUUAACUGUUACAGUCUGUUGUUCAUUGGGAUAGUCUACUGAUAUAUAAUCUGACUAUGCCAUGCCCUGUAGCUUUUAUAUUAUUAGGGAUUUGUUCUCAUUCUAGUUGUAAAAAAGGAGUACUCGAUUAUGGCCUGAGCAGCUCAAUUUCUCGGCAAGUGCUUACAGUUGUUUAUCUUUAUGCUACAAGGAUUUAGGUUUUUCUAGAGAUGUAAUUCGGGUUUUCACCUUUUCUUUUCUUAUAAUUAGGGAUGAGCAUCCUGAAUUUGAGUUGCGGUCUAUCUGCUUCUUCAAACCAUUGGAAUGGAGUCAUGAAGCCAUGUGUAGGUUUAAAACUCCGAGUUACUUCAGUUGAAUCUCAGGUUCAAUGAGUCUCCCACACAGGACUUAUUAGUCUGUCAUAGUAAUUCAUCUUCAUACGGCCGCAGCAUCCAGGUGAGCUGGCGAGCACCUUGUUACUUGCUCUCAAAGGCAUGGUUCAAUUUCUGAACUGUUCUCUAGGACUUGCAUUUGUAUUUGGUCUUGUUGUCUGAGCAUCCUGAUUCCUGAUCAAUGUUUUCCAACUAGUUACUUGUCUCACUUUCGGAUUUGGAAGUCUCAGGUCUUGUGUUAUACUUGGGUCAUUCUUUUAUCUAUAAAUGGUGCACCGCUGAAGCUAUCAGCUAUAAGCCCGAUUAGUAAGUCUCGAUGUCAGGUCAUCACCAAUGCUUGUUGAUUUCUAGCUCUCCAUUGGUUAUGCUAACUAUUCUUCGCGCACAAAGUUGCAUCAAAACUCAACAUCAGCCUCUGCACUAUUCCCCUGGUCAUCACUUCAUCUACCUCUUUUGCUUAUGAAACUUUAGCCUUCUCCUUUUUCUGGAUUUUUAGGGUUAAAAACUUAAAAUCCAUAACCAUCUUUUGUGAUUCAAAGUCAUGGAGCAUUGUCUCCUGGACCCAAUUCAACCAUCAUGAGAUAUGCAAAAAGAUCAUGAUAGGAGCCAUUUCAACCAAAGUUUUCUCUAUAGUUGAGUGAACCUCAAUAGAAUGGAGAAGGGGACCCCUUAAUCCAUUUGGAAAUUCCAUAUGAUAUCCAUGAGUAUAAAUAGUCUAGGUUCCAUUUCUGGGUUUUGAAGGUGACAUUCUAUCUAAUUAGGUGGGAUUGCUAGCAUACAUGCACUUAGGACCCAGAAAAAAGGAAAGCAGAGGUACUGAUAUAAUGGUCCAGCUCGAAUAAGCUGUCAAUUUCAUAGCUCUCUGCAUAGUUGAUAGGUACGGAACUAUGGAUCAAGCAUUGUAUGUCGUGUGUGAGUGAUUGAUGGUGCUCGGUAAUACUUGCAUCACUAGUAUCCUCCCUUUGAACAUCAUGAGCACAAUGUUUUUUUCCUUUUAAUUUGGCUUUUGCGUUAGUUAGUGCACCACGCAUAUGAAGGUCAAUCCAAAACACCUGAAUGACCUGAUGAUUCUAUUGAUUGGUACUUUUUUUUGGCACAAAACUUUUCUUUUAAUCUUGUUAAUUCAUGACCAAUUUUUAUACUUUUUUAAAGUUAAAAACAAAGAAUUACAAUAUGUGUUAUUGUAGGUGAGAGAUUGUGAGUUCGACUCACGAAGUUAUAAUAUAUGAUAAAAAUAUAUAUGUUGCUAUACAUAGUAGGGCUGGGUAUGGGCCGGGACGAGCCAGGAUUAGCGUGAUCUCGAUCCCGAUCCUGAAAUUUUAAAUGACGGGACAAGACAAGAUGAGGGAUUUUCAGAAGUGAUCUUGGUAGGCCCGAAUGAUGAUGAUGAUGCUUGAAGACUUUGCUUAUUUUGUGUAGUAGUUGUUAGUUUAUUUAGUUUAAACUCUUUAGUUUUAUUUGCUCGGUUUUAGUUUGUAACCCCUAAUGUUUUUAAGGGGAACUAUUGCGGUUAUGUCACACCUCUAUUUUUUUUUUUUUUUGUAGGUGCAAGUGUGCAACUCAUAUUUCAAUUAUAGAAUAGAAUUUCCAUAAUCAAAAUAUGAAAAAAAUUAGAAAAGAACAACUCAACACCAACUAACUGAAAUUUUAUUCUUCAUUAUAAAAAGUAACUUACAAAAAUAGACUUAAGAAAGUCUACAUCUUAUUCUAAGAGAAAGCAAACAGCACACAAAUUUUACAGGAAAUUUAAAAACAUCCUUGCAAGAAACCAACUUCAAACAGCUUGUUUAUUACCUGCAAAAUAUUUAAAGGGGUGAGCAUAAAUAGCCCAGUAGGAGGCAAAAGCUCUUCAAACAAUACAAUAUCAGUCAAAGAGACAACAUGUAUGCAUAUGUAUAAUCUGCCCCAUAUAGUUCAUAUGACAAAAUACUUCAAGUCUACAUGUCCCAUACCAUGUAUUUUUACCACAAGGGUGGCUUGGAGUAUUUAAUUACAUGAACUAUCUCCCACCCACUCACAUAACCCCUUUUACUAGUCCUUUUGCCCAUUCCCCUUUCGCCAAUCCCGAAUUACCUUUUUUCAUAACCUAUACUACUUGCGCAUCAACAUGGGCAUACCUGGGAUAUGGUUCAUGCUGAGGAUAUGGACUUAACUACACAAAAGUAAAAUUUCUAACUUCUUUACCCAAAGUGCUUUAUGCAUAGCUCUAAUACUUCCUUAUGCACAAAUGAAAAACCACUCCACAUUAUGAACAGAAUGCAGCAAGAAAACAACGAUUUCACCAAAAAGAAGUGAUUCACAUAACAAAAUAUAAAGCAAGUAUUGAGAUUCCCCAAGUUUCCUCUUACCUUUGCCGGAUCUCACUUCAAGUUUCAAGCUCCUGAGUUCCUACACCAAGGUAUCUCUCCCUCACUCUAAGUAUGGGGAUUGCUAGAAGACCUAUCUCCAAAAUACUGAACACAACUAUUUAUAGAGUCUAGGAACUUAAUCCCUAAGAUAUGAACCCUAAGAUAUGAACACAGGAAGCAAAAUCGAUUUGUUCAACUGAGUACUUACCCGUUUAGCUCCUAGACCUGCCACCUCUAGGCUCCUAGGGUUCCAGCUCCUGCAAAAUAGCUUGAAGGAGUCAUCGAUCGAGCUCUGAGAAUUUGACACCUCCUGCUUGGCAAGGUCGGCUACUAAUAUUUAAGAUUUUCUAGGUCGGUUUCUGGGUUUCAAGGUGGUUGAGCAAGAUUUCGGAUGGGACUGAUCAUGGUUCCGGAUUAAGAAGCAUCUGGUGGAGGAGAAAGUCGAUGAAGAUGAAGGACAAGCUUUUGAGUUUAAGUUGUGUUUUCUGUCUAUCUAUUUGUGACAACACUUUCUAAACAAUGUUUUAGUUUGAGCUCAAGUUUUAGGUUAAUUGAUAUUGGGCCAAGUUUUCGGUUAAUUGAUAUUGGGCCAAGUUUUGGUUUAUGGGCUAAAAACUCUCCUAGAAAAAUAAAUAAAAUAGAAAUAAUCUAAACAACUACAACAGUUUUUAACAUGUAUUAAUAUAUAUAAUGUAUAUAUAUCUAUACACAUAAAAGAUUAAAACCAACAAUGCAGAAAAUUAGUUAAAAUUUCUGAGUCGUCACAGGUUGUACCUUCAUGUUGCUUAGUCAUCACUAUUUCAGUUUUCAAUGGGUAAACAUUUGAUCAUUCACUUUCAUACUCAUGAUGCAUGUUGGUACUUAUGUAUAUAUUAAUCUUUUUUCAAUAACAAGUGUGUGGAUGUGAAUUUUUUAUGAAGAAAAUUUGCUUAACGAUGAUGCAUGGACUUGUUUGAGCGGGAUUGCAAGGCCUUUGCCUUGUUGGUUAAACAUGUUGGUGUCUUGCUUUAAACUUGAGCUUGAUAUAUGAUGUGGGCUAGAAAACAUGCUUGGGUCUUAUGAACUUUAAUUUUUCAAAAUAAAUUAUUAUGGAUCUAGUGUUUGAUUUAAUUCAUUUCAUAUUUGUCAUGUCAACUAUUGGAUUAAAGAAGCAUAGUGAGACUUGGGGAGCUAGCUAUUACAUGCCAUUUUGUGAGCGUUCGAGCCUUAUUUGCAACGUAUGCAUUUUUCUAUGCACUAACUUUUUGAAGAGUGAACAUCUCAUUUACUUUGCAUCUUUCAAACUUGUUUCAUAUCUUCAAAGCUCUUUGUCACAAUUCACAUCUUGGAAACAAAUUAGGCAAUUAGGAGUCCACCAUAACCAAAUAUGUAUGUCCCUAAAAGAUUGAAUAUCCUUAGAUUCUCAUUUUGAGCUUUCUUGUUAGCCUUUCAUUUCUUCCAUCAUAAAUGUCUACCCUUAACUUAAACACGUGUCUUACCCUUUCAACUUUUCUUAAUGAGCAAUACGAGAUUAUUGAUGUCAUGAUGUUUAAGAAACAAGUUUGGGAGUACUUCGAAAAAAAUAGAUGUGGCUGUGUAUAGUGUUUGCAAUUGUAAAUUCAUAUUCAUCUUUGUGGAAAAAAAAAUGCAAAAAAAAAAAAGAGAAAACGAGGAAAAGAAAAGAAAAAUCUCAAAAGAAAGUCAUUUUCAAUUCAAUAAAUAGUUUGUGUAAGUUUGGGGAAGUGGAUGAGAAAGUGAAAAUUUUUGACAUCUUAGGUUCUUAGGUUCUUAAGUUCUUAAUCUCAAAAUGAUUGUUGAUUAUUCUGUUGCUUGAAAUUUGUUAUUCCAUUCCAUUUCAUUUCUUUACCCCUCACCCUAAACCUCGUUACAUAUAAUAAAAAUCUCAUUUCACUCGAGAUGUGUGUUUUGUUUAAUUAGUGGAGAUACGAUUUAAGAGCAACCAUAUGACGGUAUUGCAUGAGAUUGUUUUGAGUGUAGUGUAGUUAAGCCAUAAAUACUUGUGUGAAAAAUAAAGUGAAUAUUUUGUGAGUAUAUGGUUAACAUGGUUUGACAUGCAUUCUUAAUUUUGGUAUAUUUAUAUGACAAAUUAGAUACAUUAUUAACAUUUCAAAACACAAGCAUUUGAUUCACGAUCCAUGAAGUUUAAAGAUCUAGCUUUAUAUACAUUUUGUUCUUUGAGGAAAUUGUUGGGAGGAUUAGAAAGUUAUUUUUGUUGUUGUGUCAAAAUUUUGGUUGGUUUGCUUGAGGACAAGCAAAAUUCAAUUUUGAGGGGUAUUUGUUAGAUCAUAAUUCAUCUAUAAAUUUGUGCCCUAAACCUUGAGAUUUACUUGUUCUAAAGUCCAAUUUAUUGUCAACUAUCUAAUUCCAUGUUUUGUAAAAUCUUCACAAGAGAAGAAAAAGUAGGCUAGGGUUGGAAAACUCUCAGAGUUCUGGUUUCCUAUCCGGCAACGCCUUAAGAUCUGACGAUGGAUUCCGGCCUCGUUAGUGCUUGAUGGGUGUUGCCAGACGGGUCUUUGUCUGGCUUACGGCUGGUGGUGGUUGGUGGUUUUGGAGAACAUGAGCGAUGGGCAGAGAGAUGAAGUUCUUUGAAGGGAGUUUUAUUACCUUUUGGUUGGUAGCGAAUGCAAAGCGGAACAAAGCGGCUGUUUUUCUAACUUGCUUAAUGCUCCGACGUCAGAGAGUGGCAACACGGGGUUGACAACGACCGGAAAAGGGGUGGUUGUGACGGUGUUAUCCUCCUUAGAUUAGAUUGAUUCAAUUUGGGUUAGAUUCUAAGUUGCGACUGGUGGAAUGAUUCGGAAGAUGGUUGUGCUGCUUUUCCAGGUCAUCACGUGGAAGCUGGGUGGUUGGCAAUGGCGGCGGUCUGACAGAUGCGGUGGAGCAGCUCUCUGAGCAGUAAGCCGAGGUGGGCCAAAGGAAUAGUGGGCCAAAUCUCUUUGUUGGGCCUUAUUCUCUAUGUUCAUAGGGGUGAGGUCUGGGUUUGGGCCCUAUUAUUGUGUAUGACCUGAAUCUUGUUUCUGUUUAGUUUUGUUAUGUUAGGUUUUUCAGUUUUUGGUUAGGUUGUUUGGUUAGGUUUAAUAGGUCCCUCCUCUUUCAAGUGAGGGUUUUGGUGUGUUGUUAUGGUCGGUGUGCUACUUGAGUGGCGUCACUCUAAGGAUUAUUGGUUUUAAUUUCGAUGUUGUCUAGUUGUCAACAAGAGGGUGAUUUACUUUUACACGUGGUCUGGUGGUUUUUGGACACUAUGUUGAAGAAGAGGAAUUUGCUUUGUUUAUUGUUGGUGAUGAGAUUGUGUCGUUACUUUCAGGAUUUAGUAGCUCUUUUUUAACAUAAAUUUUGGUUAGGGGUUGAGCCCUUUUGAUUCAUGGAUGUUGUUGUUGGUGACGGACUCGUAACUAUGGAUCUUGGUAGGAAUGUGUGUUGUGAUGUAGUCAUCAUAACCGGUCGUUCCAUUACGAUAUGAUUUCUUUAUAUAAAUAAAAUUCUUGAUAUUUCUCCUCAAAAAAGUAAUAUGGUGAAAUUCUAGCAAUUUUCCAAGUGCCACCACUUUUUUAACUUGCUUUGUGGGUAUUGUUGAAUCAGAAUAUAGUAUGUGCUUUGAGCAUGAGCAUGACCGAUUUUGAAAUUCUAAGGCGGAGAAUAAAAAUAUAACUUCUUUAACAUGUAUAAUUUAAUUUUAUUUAGCAUGGAUAGUCGUACAAAAUUAUGUGUUUUGAAUAACAUGUUAAUGUAAAUAUAAAAUUAAUAACAAAAAAUACAAAAUUUUCCCAAUAUAUAUGGAUUUUUUUUUUUAAAGAAAAUAGACAUUAGUUCCAUAUAUUGAUAAUUGAAAGUAGGAAUAAAACAUAAACAUGAUUUGCCCUCUAGGGCACGUUAGAAUUGAACCAUGCAAAACAAAUUAGAGCUUAAGACCUAAGAACCUAAGCCAACCUAAACUAUUUAAAUGCCAUAAACCAUAAUACAAGGUCGAUAUAAAAUCCUGCUUUGCAACAAAAAAACUAAAUAACUGGCCGCCAAGACAUAAGUAGGAAGGGAUAAAUCCUCAACCCAUCAUUAUUUGAUUACUUCCAGGACCACCCUACGCAUAGGAGACAAUCUCAGAGCAUCAACACACCUAAUCAAAACCAAAGUCCCAACUAAAAAAGUGCUCUAGACCUACAAGCAGCCCUAAUCUAAAAACAAUAAAAUAAAAUCCAGAAAAUUAACCCAAACUAAUAGAAAAGGAAAAGGCAAUGAAAGGGAGACGCAGGAAUCGGGUUAGUUAGAAACUUAGAAUAAAGCCUGUGAGGCUUUCCGCUGGCUCCUCCUUAAGGUAUCAGCAACCAAAAUAUAAACCCCCAAAUGCUUUGUCACUCUCCUCAAUUAGGGUUUCCAAACAGAAGAGCCUCAUUGGAAUCGGACCGCCGAGACUCGUCUGCGGCGUCAACGUUGACCCCAAUACUCUCACAGUAAGUGAUUUAGCUCCACCCAUCAAACUAGUUCACUUUUACAAUUUCAAGCACUACUUUUCAUUCAAGCAUCCAAAACCCUUUAAUUAAUUUGGGGUUUUCUUCAAAGUUUCAAUCUUUGCGAGUGAAUGGUAGGAUUUUAUCAUGGGUAAAAGGUCUAUAGAGGAAAGACUAUGGAAAUCUGUUAUCUUUCUUAUCCAAAAGUGUUGCUUAGGUGAAGUUUUGGAUGGUUGAAUUUGGUGUAGUCUUGAAGUUUCUUGUCUGUUGUCUCUAUUGGAUGUUAGAUUGGGUGAGGGAUUUGUAAAGGCUGAAACUUUGUAAUCAUGUUGGGUAAUUGUAUUAGCUCAAAGUUGAUUUCAGGGUUGCUGCAAUGGAGGAUGCCCAAGAAGUAUCUGAGACAAUGUCAGAGAGCUCAUCAGGAAAGAUACAGGAAACUCGCGAUGAAAUGCUCUCCAGGCACAGGUAAUUUGUUGUUGAUUCUGUUGUUCAAUUUUUGUUUAUGGUCUUCGUAUUUCGCUGGUGAUUGCAUCUGUAGUGGAAAUAAGUUCAGUUAUAUACAUCUAAGUGGUCUUCAAACAUUUAAAUCAUCAUGUAAGGCAUAGUCUGUUUACAUUUUUUGAUGAAAGUUUGUGGUGAUUGAGACUUGAUCAUGACAUUCAAGCGUUAAGGAGCUUGUGUCUGCACUGAAACAAAUAUUCUCCUCCCAACACCUUUAUAAUCAUAAACUACCAUUCUCGGUUAAUGAUCUUUUGGCUGCUCUGCUGAAUGUGAAUUGCUUGUUGUUCUUACUUCGGUAUAUUUGUCAUUAUAAUUAGUUUACUGAAGACAAAGUAGUAGUAUAGAUUGUAAGAAUCAGGAAUAAUUGUAAGUUAAUAGAGGCUGGUGUCUUCAGCUUAUUAGGUCAACUUCUCUAACUUUACCAAAGACAAUUCAUAACGAUCCCCUCAGACAUUUGUUUUAUAUACAGGAAAGAGACUUCAAAGUUGCAGGACAAGGAAAUUCAAUUGAAAAAGGCAGCAGCAAAAGGUAGCAAGGCCGAACAAAAAGCUAAGAAAAAGCAGGUGGAGGAAGAGAUUUCUCGACUUUCUGCUGAGCUUAAGGAAAAACAAGCCGAAGAACUUGCAUUAUUAGGCUAUAGCAGCAGUAACAAUGGAGGUGAAAAGAGUAAUCUGGAUACUUUAGUGAAGGCCAUAGCUGGUGUUUCUGUCAGCAGUCAACCUGAGAGUGCAAAGCCUAGCAAGAGUUCAAAGAGAAAAGUGAAAAGGGCCCAGGAGGAUGCAGCAAGGGAGCAAAGAAUUCAAGAAGAGCAGAGCAACUUAGUAAGUGAUCGAAUGGUUGAGGAUGAGAAACUAGAAGAAAAGCUUGAACCCCUAGGUUUGACUAUCAAUGAGAUAAAGCCUGAUGGUCAUUGCCUCUACCGAGCUAUCCAGGAUCAGCUGGCCCACCAUUCUGGAGGCUCAUCCCCUUACACAUACCAAGAGCUUCGAGAAAUGGUGGCAGCUUAUAUGAGGAAGCAUGCACCUGAUUUUCUCCCAUUCUUCUUGUCAGACAACCAAGUCGAUGGUGAUUCUGAUGAAUCGCUUGCUGAAAGGUUUGAGAAUUACUGUAAGGAAGUGGAGUCAACAGCAGCAUGGGGAGGACAGCUAGAGCUUGGGGCUUUAACUCACUGCCUUAAAAAGCCUAUCAUGGUAUACUCAGGAUCAUUCCCUGAUGUGGAGAUGGGUAAGGAGUACAAAUCUGAGAGUGGAAAUGGUUCUGUUUCUAGUAUUAUGUUGUCAUAUCAUAAGCACGCCUUCGGGCUUGGAGAGCACUAUAAUUCUGUGGUCCCUAUAUAAUCAAAUAGUAGCAGCAUCCCCGACAAAACCACUUGGCUCGCCCUCUAGUUUGUAAUUUGUGCUGAGAAAAGGCACGAUUUGAGCUCCUUUGAUUCUUGAUACUGCGUUAGACAGUAGUGGUUCAGUGUUCCUUUCAUUUCCAAUUUCCCUGACUACGUUUUGUAGCUAAAUAUGGUUAAUGAGUAUUUGACCCUUUCAGAACCAUUUAUGGCUUUUGCUUCUUGCAGCCGUAUAUACAACUUGGGAUUGCCUACUCGAGGUAGUUCGAAAUAUCUUGUACUGUUUAAUUUAGCAUUCUGUGAUCUGCAGGUUAUGGACCAUCCAAAUAAAGUUGCUUGAUCUUAACCCCUAUAGCUUCACCAAAUCAAGAUUAUUAACUCAAGGCUUUAGGAUACAGAUGGUUUUUUAAACCCCUAGACUGAUAGGAGAAAAAGAAUGUAAUUCCUCUCUUAUUUUCUUCAUUUCUGAUACAAAUAUUAAAGAAUGUAUUCACUCAUUACUCAUCCUUAUUCUUUCAGAACCACUAAAUUGAAUCCUAAGAAAUCUGGAAAAUCAAUAUAUACUUUUGCAUAUAUUCUCGUACCUUUACCUUAUUAUUUUAUCAAAUGUAACUUACGGCAUGGCGUGUAAGGCAGUGGUAACUCCAUUAGAUUAUGGUAUGAUCUCUGGCGUUUACCUCAAGCUCUUACUGAUCUUGCUCUCCCUUAUGCUGUUAUUGAUGAAAAUGCUAUGGUAUUCAUUUUUUGGAAUGUUGAGGGCUGAGAUGUGGAUCUUCUUCUUUAUCUUCUUCCUCGUGAUAUUGUGAAUUCCAUUAUUAAUUUUCCAACUGGUUUUCAUAAGUGUGGUGAUGAUAUUAGAGUUUGGAGAUCUACUUUAAAUGGCCGGUUUUUCUGUAAAGUCUACCUAUAAUUCCCUUUUUGAUUUGUCUGAACAUAUGAAUCCUCAGUGGAGUGCCUUAUGGAAGUUUGAUUUACCCCCAAAAACUUAAGACUUUUUGGUGGACUUUUCUUCACAAAAAAUUGCUUACCAAUGUUCAGCGAGUAACUAGAGGCUUUGCUUCUAAUCCUGCUUGCCCCAUUUGUCAUUCUGUUGUUGAGACCUUGUUACACCUCUUUAGGGACUGUCCAAGAUCGAAGACUAUUUGGAGGGCUUUACUGGUUGCAUUGAUAAUUCCUUUAUUUGGAUUGGAAUAGAUGGAUUAAUGCUUCUUUUCACUAUCAUACUGCUAUUUAGGAUAAUAGUAGAUGGAAGUGCUUGUUUAUCUAUAUCUGUUGGUUUAUUUGGAAGUGGAAAAAUAAACCGGUUUUUGAGUCUGGCUUUGUUCUUCCUGGUUGCUUCAAGAAUUUGAUAUAGGAUUAUGCUAUUGAGUGAAAGAAAGCUAAGUUGAAAUCCAAUGAAAAUCCAUGUUCAGCUAUACUAUGCUAUGCUUUCAUGAAAAUGCCUCUUGAGAACUUUUUCAAGUUGAAUGUUGAUGGAACUAGGACUUCUCCUUCUGGUAAAAUAGGUGCUGGUGGUGUUAUUAGAAAUCAUUGUGGAGACUGGAUUAUUGGAUUUCAAAUUAAUUAUGGAGUUGGUGAAAUCUUGGAUGUUGAACCCUGGGGUUGUUUUCAUGGUGUAAAGUUGGUUGUUGAUUUGAAUAUCAGAAACUUAGUGAUUGAAUCUGAUUAUGCUGUCUUGGUUCAACUGAUGCUCAAUUCUGCUUUUGAUAUUCAUCCCCUGGGCUCCCUUCAUGGAUGCAAAAAUUUGAUGAACAAGAUGGAUGAUGCUCAGCUUUCUCACAUCUUUCAGCGAGUGCAAUGCCACGACUGAUUCUCUAGCCAAAUGCAGUAUCCUCCAUGAGCUUGGUCUUGUUUGUUUUGACAACCCUCCUGCUCAUGCUAUUGAUGCCUUCGUUGAUGACUUGUGUUCAGUCACUAGAGCUAGGAAAAUUGGCAAUUGUUUUAGUAUUUAGUCUAUUUUUCUAUUUCGUUUGUGCCAUUUACUCUUUAUAAAAAAAAAAAAUGUAACUUACAACAUCGCGCGGAAGGAAGUUCUUAGUUUCCUUGCUUAUUUUCAUUUUGAACUAGAGUAGGUUACGGAGGUCAAACCCAUUUCAUAUUAGAAAAUAAGCAAACCUAAGUUAUGCAUAAGCAUGGAGAAACAAAACAAACUUGAAAAUGAAGGCUUCCUCAUCAUCACAGAAACAACUUAAAGAUAUUUUUUUUAUCAACAAAAACUUAAAAUAUCUUUUGGUGAAUAAGAUAAGAUACUGAUGACAUAACCGGUUACAGAAAAUGUGACUAUAGAGAAAAUAUAAUAGAUUGAGUUGCCGAUAACGUCAUGAAAAUACGGAGCAACAAAUUUGGUUCUCGAACCGGUCAUUAAUAAUUUAUAUUUUUAAAAACAUUAAUUAUUUUAUGAUAUAACAAAGACAAAGUAAUCAAUAUCUAUGACUUCAUAUUGCUUUGCACAUCGGCAAAAAUAAAAAAUUAUCUCUCAGACAAAAAAAAAGAAAAAAGGAAAAGAUAUCAUCUUGCACGUUUUGGGGCUUGUAGCUAUUUUGUCAACAAGCGAUUUCCCAUUUCCAUCUCCUACCGCCACGUGUUACGAUUCAUGGUGAUUCUGCACAACAGCUCGUUAUUAUAUCACACCCCAAUCCCAUGAUUAUGGCAUGGAUUAACAAACCCGUAAUUUGUCCCCAAGAUCGUGGGCAUUUCCUUUAAUAACUAUUUAUGUUUGCCCCCACAAUUUCCAAUCCUAUCCACUCCGCUAAUAAUAAUGAGAUCAUAAAUCAGAAAAUAAAAAAGCCUAAAAAUAGAAAAUGAAGCCGGACAAGGUGGCUCUUUCUAUCUCCUCUACUACAUUCUCUCUCCCUCUCCUUCUCUGCUACAGUCCUAAUUUCCCUGACGAAACUGCCCCUCCCCGGUCCUCUUCUCCCUCCAGAUUCUUCUCCCAUCGGUCAAAGAUUCUCCGCGCUGAUCAGACAAGCUUCCUCUCAUUUUCUCUCAUGGUAAAACUGGUGCUGACGGCGACGGCGACGAGGAGGAGCUGGUGAGGUGGAGAUGGAUUUGACUGAGGGCGUCGGAGAGAGCUCGUCGCCGCCGAGGAGCUUUGUGAGCUUCAAUAACUACGAUGUGAGGAACGACGUCUAUAGCCGAUUGGUGGAGAGCGGUCAUCCUCUGGCUUUGACUCAACCGGACUUCCGUGACCAGUUGGACGCUCACUUCAAUCGCUUGCCUGCUAGGUAUCAAAUUCCUAAUUCCACGCUUCGAUCAAACCUUUUCCUUGUUUUCGGUUGCGAAAUUAGUUUUCGAAUGCUUAAACUGUAAAGAAAGAAGUUCACAAAUAACUUCAGGAGCUUCAAAAUAGUUAAAGUGAGUAUGAUAUGCAUUCCGAGGAGCUUCGGAAUAGUUUAGUGUUUUUGAUUUUUUGAGCAGGGGGAGGUUUGUUGUUAGUUUUGUAUUUCCGACUAUAUUACUGUACAAAGCUACUGAGCUACUGGUUUGACUAAUGUAACUAGUAUAAGAGUUUACAUAUGCUCUGUGUUUUAUCACGGAAUUAGCGGCGGAUUCUGCCUGUUAAUGAAAUUGUUCCUUGGGCAGUUAUGGGCUUGACGUAAACAUGGACCGAGUCGAAGAUGUUUUGCUGCAUCAGAAGCUUCUUGCGUUGGCAAAGGAUCCGGAGAAACGGCCUGUUUAUCAUGUCCGUUUCUUGGAGGUAUUACCUACCGUCUGAUUUAGUAUCUUAUGGGAGUUAUGGCAAUUUUGUUGUCAACUGGAAUUUCUUUAGUUUCUGGUGCCAAGUAUUAGUUUGUUUCCUGUUAUGCAAUAAAACAAGAGUAUUAGCUUGUGUUGUGUAAUGAAAACCAAGUUCUUAGAUUGUCUGCAUUGAAUGGGGAUGGAAAUGGUAUGUUUGAUACAUGUUUAUUCUGGAGGGAACGAUGGGUUAGCAUAUGUUUUAUAAAAAAUUUAUAUAUAUGGUAACCUGUUUUUGAUUACAUAUUGAUAUUGGGCCAUAGUGCCAUACUUAAUACUGCUUGCACAAGAAUGUUAAACUUUGAUUCCAUGCAAAGUGAAACCCUAAGUUUAUUUAUUCCCUUAUGCAUGCUCACUUAGAUUACUUUUUUCUCUUCGCUGUUACAUGUUCCAUCUUUUAUGGUUCUUUUGUGUAUUUCUCGUCAGAGCAUCUCUACGGCGGGGACGGAUGAUGAUGAGGAUGAACAAUUCACUACUAGUGUUUCAACCUCAAGGCUAUCAUGUAAUGAAAUCAAUGAGGGAUCUGCGCAACCACAUGAUAGGUAUUACUUCGUGCAGUCUUUGUCUGGACACUGUUAGUUAGUUCCAAUCCAUAUUUACUCGUUUAACUGUUCCGUUCUUGGAUAUUAAUUUGUUGCUGUAAUUUCUGUGUUUUUUUUUUCCUGGUUACUUCUCUGCGUAGAAUUAGGAAUUGUGCUGUUGACUUUGAACCUUGCUCUAGGCUCGGAGACCUAAAUUUGGACGUUAAAAAGAAUACUCAGGAUGUUGAUGAAAGAGAUCUGCUGGAGAGAUUUCCCAAAAGGUACUCAACAUUUUUUUUUUGCUUUUUUUUUUCUUUUGGUUGCCAAACUUUCUGUUUCCCUGUAAUUCUUAAAAGGCUAAAGACCAACUAUUAUUCAUCAAGACAAGAAUGUUCUUUUCAUUAGAAAGGUUUUCCUUGUGAUGCUUUAAAUCAUCUGUUUAAUAUUUUAGUACAGGAUUACAUUUCUGUAUUCUUUUUGUCGUGUUGAUAUUUCUGAUCGUUUGAAGAAUACAUUUUACAGAAGAGCAACUGAUAAUUCACAACAAUGAAUGUUUCCUAUCCUCUAAUAUAACUUCAGAUAUCUUUAAUUCAUGGAACAAAGUUUAUUAUUCUGUCAUGCAUUUUCUUAAACAUGCUUGUCCAUAUAUUGUAUAGAACUGUAUACCACAUCAUCCAUAUAUGCCUGUAUACCAUAUACAUAUGCCUGCAUACCAUAUAUGUCCAUAUAUGCCUGGUUGGACAGACAACAUGUAUCAAACAUAUUUUAUUUUCUACCCCUGCUUGAUUGAUAAACAUGAUGUCCAUAUAUGGUAUAUAACUAUAUAUGCAUAGUUUUGUAUAUUCAUGUAUGAAAUUACAUGACAUAAUUAUUUGUCAAAUACUAGCUAAGGGCUGAUUGUUUGGUUUGUUGAGUUAUUCUACAACAGCUCUGUAUUUUAAUUGUCCAUGAAUGUGCUUUAGAACUGAACUUUAGCCAUAUAAUUAAUAAUGGCGUUACAUUGACCAUUGGUUGAAUGAUGCAGGCAAGAUACAUCGCGUAUACUCACUCAUGAAGUAAUUUUUUCAUCCAUUGACAAGCCUAAGCUUCUUAGCCAGGUACUAGUCAGAGGCUUAAGUUAUUUAUUUGUUAUAUCUAUAUUAGCACCUAGGUUUUAUGUAUUUCGAUUCAAAAACUUCAAUCUGGCAGACUAGUCAAUAUUCGCUAUGCUUGUAUCAGUCAAUGUAGGCAAGGAAAUUGUUUGCCGUCUUAGCUGGAUUGGGCCUGGGCCUCCUCUUUAAUUGUGUGUACAUAAAGUCCGUGUUAUAUUCCUUUUUUGCAUCAGUAGCCCAAAGAUGGAUCUUUAUAACAUUGCAUUAUUUGAAAGGAUUUCACUCUUUCUGUUCCACACAUAGAAUUUUCUUCAAUGUCUCAAAAAAGGGAAAAUUUAGUGAUGUUAUAGGCUUUUUUAUAUAUCUCCUAUCAUUUUGUUGCUUCUUUACACAUCAAUUACAUUGUCUCUACGAAGUAGUUCUAAUGUAGCCCCAGUUUGGAUAACAAUAGAAUUUGGAGGGGACGAAAUGAAAAAAAAAAAAUGGGAUAAGACAGAGAUACUGAUGCAGGAAUAAUAUCAGAGGAUGAGUAAUAACCAAGAUUCAAGCAAUGCUAAUUUUUCAUACAUUUAAGUUCUUAUAUCCCCAAUUGGGAUAUAAAAUAGAAUCUUGAGGGGAGGAAGUAGAAGGAGUGGGAUAAGAAAGAGAUAGGGAUUCAGGAAGAAAUAUCAGAGGAUGAGAGAUAACCAAAAUUCAGGCAAUGAUUUUGUCAAUCCAUUCUAGUCUGCGAAUGAUGAUUACAAUGCUCAAAUUUAGAGAGCUCUAACUAAGAUAUAGUAAGACCCUGCAUGAUUAAAGUACAAAGAUAUCCGUACCCUAGACAAUAAUUGUAAACAGGAUAUGUCAUAUACAUUCUCCUUUGGUGACAAAAAUCCCGACUCUGUCUAAUGAAGUAAGGUGAUAACAGAUGAAAUAGAUCGUGUUUGUGUUCAGUCGCAUUGUCAAGACCAAUGCCAUGGAGCUGUUCAAUAGUUGCUGGACUGAAUAUAAAAGUCAAAUCAAAUUGGAGACUAUGCCCAAAAGAAGGUGGAUUAAUGAAUUGCAGCAUUGUUUACUUAUGAAUUCUGUAGGCUCUAAUGUUUGUUAUGUAGAGAGAUGUGAUCAGUAAAUCUUUGAAUGGGAUAGACAGAUUCUUGAUUAGAGCAGCUUGCUCUAAUAAAGCGAGACGGCUUUAGCGUAGGAUAAGUCAUAUAGGUCCAAGAAUAGGAAUAGUCUAGUUGCCGAUUUGGAAAAUGGUCCAAAUUCACAGCAAUCUGGGCCAAAAUGCUAUUCAUUUCUAUUGGAACUAGUGAAACCUAUAUGUCAAAGUAGGACCAAUUUCAUCAAGUGGAAAAUAAUCAGAAGGAAUAAGCAUCAGAAAGAGAUAUCAGAAAAAGAUAUCUGCAGCAUGAAGAAUCAGAGGGAGCUAUACUCAGGGUUAAAGCAGUGAUUAACUCUCCAUCAUUUAUUCAGUCCAAUUGUGCAAAUAACAAUUACAAUGCUCAUAGUUGUAGAAUCUUACGUAAUUGUAAAAUAGAUGUACUCUAGAUAAUGAUUACACAUAAAAUACAUCAAUAUAUUCCGUCCUGCGUCAUCUUCCACUGGUGAUAAGAUUUCUGCUCAAUUGACGUGAGGCUGGAACAUUGUCAUCUAGCCAACAUCACAGGGGUGCUCAAGUUUAAGUGUUCCUUAAUCGAGUAAACAAGUGAAGAAGUACGGAAAGUGUAGAAAAGAAGGUGGGUAGAAGACUUGCCACAACAGGUGUUGUCAUAUGACGUCCAUAAUUUCAAAUUGCACAGUAGAUGGGAUCUGUGCAAGCAUAGGAUCAAUAGUUUAUUGGUCUGCAGUAGCUUGUUCAAUUAAAGAGCGGCCGCUUGGUUAAUAGUUAAGUGGACUUGGCUUGGCUAGACAUAGGAUGGGACCUGUAGACCCAGGAAUGCUAAGUUAAUUUAGCGAUAGUGGAAAGCAUCUGAGCCUUGAUAAUGCAGACAGCUUGGAAAAUAUAUCGGUCAUUUCUAUGUGAAACAAUUUUCUAUAAGAAUAGGCAGGAGGGAAUGCUGUUUUUCACGUUUCCUGUACUAUUUAUUCUUGUGAUCUGUACAGUUUCCAUAACGGCGUUGCAUUUUGGAAACUUUUUCAUGAGUUUGUUACUUGUUGGGACAUAUAACGUUGUUUCCAUGUGAAGGUAUUUUAUUUAGUGGCAAAUUAUGUACUUUUUCCUCUUCAUAGUUAUCUGUUCCCUUUCAAGUUUUAACUCAAAACCCUGAAUAUCGAAGAUACUUUUAAGACUUUUGCAUCAAGAGAGGCUCUCUAUCUUUAAUAAAUCGUGGAUGGAAGUCUCUCACACAUGAUUACUUUGUUUCAAUAUAUAACCUCUGCGUUCUGCAAAACUUGGCAACUGAUUUUUAGGGGUUGUAACACAUUUACUUUCUCCUUUUUUUGUUUUUUGUUUCCUUUUUGUUAUCUUCAUAAUGUAUCUUACUCACCAUCUGUCAGUCAAAUUAUAUUUUUCUCAUGUUGAGAAUCUUAGAGAAUUCCAGAGUUUCAUUUCAAGAGCAAACAUCUUCUAACAGAUGUCCUUUUCCUCUAGCUUUCUGCGUUACUUUCAGAUAUAGGACUUAACAUCCGUGAAGCACAUGUCUUCUCGACCACUGAUGGCUACUCCUUGGAUGUAUUUGUGGUGGAUGGAUGGCCUGUUGAGGUACUUUCUCACUAUUUGAUGUGUUUGUUGUCGUACAAUGUCAGGCUUUUGUAUCUUGAAGUUGUUUCAUCUUCCUUUUGUUAAUAUAAUCCUUGCUAAACAUUGGUAAUACAUGUUUUCCCCGUGAGGGAAGAGUUCAAUUUGGUUGGUUAUGGUCUUUGUUGUACUUCUGUUGGCGUUAUAUGUACUGUAAUGUAUUUUGUGCUAUGCUAUUGUAUGCAUGCCAACCACUGUGAGCCAGUGUUUUUAUCUGUCUUUGAAGUUGCAUCUGCAUGAAGUAGUUAUAAAGGUUGUUCCAUAUGAUAGAAUUAUCCGUAAUAUAUUGUUAUGAAUUUUAAGUUAUAUAAAAUCCGUUAGUUUAAUCAAGCUGCAAAUUAUCCAAGGGAAACGUCUUUCUUAUAUAUUAAGGGGCAGUGCGAUUAUAUUUCUUUUAUGACAGGGAUCUGUGCUGAGUCCAAAUGUUGCUGACUUUGCAAUCUUGUGGUCAGGAAACAGAUGGUUUAAAUGAAGCUAUGGAAAAAGCAGUUGCUAGAAGUGAGGUAAACUACGUCAUAUUGUAAACCUUCUGAAUGUUGUUUGCUUUCUUUUUUCAAGUGUUUCAUCUAGUGCUAUAUGAAUUUUCUCUUUCUGCCAAAAAAAAAGUGGUUCAUCUUGGUGAGUGGAGCACUGCUUAUUGUACUCAUUCUAAAAUAUGAAACAGCAUACAUUUUUUUAUAGAGUUUAUAUCCUUCGGUUAUUGUUUCCUCCAGACCUGAUAACCAGUCCUCUUUUUUUGUACUUUACCCUUGUAACUUUAGGAAUGUGUGGAGAGGAAUGAGAGUAUAUAGGAUUAUAGGGUAAUUAUCAGAAGUCUGCUCUUGGUAGUACAUUUUUGAAAUAUGGGAUGAUAUUCUGAAACUUUUUAUUUUAUUUUUCGUUUUGGUGCUGCAUCUAUCUGUCCAGUAGUGUUGGAAGCAGCUGUUUCCCCUGCUUUUUAGAAAUUGUUUAUUCUCAUAUUCUGAUCCCAGUAGAGCACUUCAAUAGGUAUCCAGUGUAAUCUUCUGCUUGAUGAAAUUGAUUAUGAAAAAAGAUUUAAAUUUUCUUUUAAACAUGUUAUUCAAUAAUUUAGGGAUCGUGGUCAAGAUCUUCACAUUCCCAUUCAGCUGGAGAGAAAAUGAUUUUGGCACAAGAAAAACCUGGAAGCUGGGAAAUAGACAGGAGACUGUUGAAGAUAGGAGAAAGAAUUGCAUCUGGAUCCUGUGGAGAUUUGUAAUAUUGGUUUUAUUGUUGGCAAUAUUUAGUUAUUUUAUAUUUAUGGUCUGUGCUGAUCAACUUUAGCUCAUCUUCAUUCGCAGGCACCGUGGAAUUUAUCAUGGUCAAGAUGUUGCUGUUAAGAUUCUACGAUCUGAGCAUUUAAAUGCUGCUCUAGAGGAUGAGUUUGCUCAAGAAGUGGCCAUUCUAAGGUAAGUAAUGCUGUUUUAUGGUUAUGCCGUUCUAUCUUGAUGUGCAAUUCACAUGAAAUAGCAAUUUCUAGUUUUAGUGUAUUGAUUUGUUCUUCCUCACUUGUAAACAUUUACAUAUUUUUUCCUACUGGAAGGAACAUGACAGUUUAAAAAUUUAAUUGUCCUAAAUCUCAUAAACUCUUGGUGGUUAGAGGAAUAAAUUCAUAUUUAGUGUCUCCCAAACAUUGAGAAAACUGAAGCAUGUCUUCGAAUGUAUUUUCAAGUCCAAGAGAUACACAUUCUUAUUUUUUUCACUUCGAUUUGUUUUGUUUUUAGUUUUAAGAUUAGAGUUAUAACUGUGUAUAUGCAUUACAACACUUUCUUAUGUCUUCAGUAGGUUGCCACAUAAGUCUAUCAACUUCUUAGAAAUUACUUUCCCGGUUAGAGAAGAAAAUUAUUUCAUUUAUAUUCAUGUAAGAUAAGAUCUGAAAUCAGUAUGACCAGUGCAGGGUGAAAUGUUUGAGAUGAGGUAUACUAUGCGGCUUAUCUGGAUACCAAUUUGCGUACCCAGUGAAUAAAGACAUAAUUACAGCGUCCCUUUCACGUACCCAAUUGAUUCCUCAACCACCGUUGCCCAGCUUCCAUGGGAUUUUAUCCAAGGGUAGAAAAUAAUGAGGUAGCUUCCAUUGGAGUAAAUUAAUUUGUCUUAUUAUUCUCAACACUGGAUUUACAUCCAGGGGUAGUUCAGCAACGCUAUGUACGGAAUCAAUUGAGUAGUUGAACUUAGACUAUAGUUACAUCUAUACUUUGUUCGGAGGGAAGCCUUUUUAACAGAUUGGGUAUCCGAGAAAAUUGUUCAUGUUUUCUGCCUUUUUAAUGACAGCAAAACAGAUGGUUGGAUAGCCUAGAGGAUGGGUGUAUGAAUAGAUCUGGUGUUGAUGUAUAGAUAAAUUUGGUUAUUCAUGCGAUCUGUUAUGAUCCGACUAUGCUAACAAACUUAGGACAAGAUAUGGAUUUGAGCUGAUCAGGUCCUGUUUUCUAAAUUAUAUUAUUUAUUCUAAAGGCUAGUGUUAUUAACACACCCUUUUGUGUUAUUAACACACCCCAUUUAUAAUGAGGGCAUAAGAUGAAUGCAAUAAAAUAUUAUAAUCGUUACUUAAUAUGAGUGAAACCGUGGAUGUCAAAGGAUUUAGUUAUCAAUAAUCGAUCAGACUGGAUCCAAUUUAGGCUGAUUCAAUCUGUUGACAGUCUAUAUACUAUUGUUAGAUAAUUAAUUAUUCCAUGACUGCAUGUUACCCAUAAAGGUUGCAAGUACUUGGAAUUCACAAUGGAUAUAAUGUACGUCUCUUUGAGAACUGGAUACAGUUCUGAAUGCCUUCAUAUCGUAAGCUCCUAUCUUUCUUGUGUGGCUGUAUGUAGUUUUUCAGUCACUCUAUUUUUAGCCAAAUUGUCAUGCUUAUGGCUGUAAAGUCUGUUCAAAUUAAAUGGCAAAUUGACAUAUUUUUCAACAGUAAAUCUCUCACACAGUUGUAUAUACAUAUGAUGUUGAUAGCAAGUCAAUUGUUGAUUGCAGAGAGGUCCAUCACAGAAAUGUUGUGCGUUUUAUUGGUGCAUGCACGAAGUCUCCACAUUUAUGCAUAGUGACAGGUACAGAGUUCCUCUAGUUGUUGUAUCCAGUUUUCUAAAUGUUGUUUUCCUUCACUUGGAGAGAUCUUCAAUAGAAAUGCAUUUGAGAUUUGAGAAAAAGAUAAACAUAAGGUGUGAAACAUAUUUUCUUAUUAUUAGGUUUAGCCGUUUAGGUUUGUAAUUUCCAUAAAUAAGGAGCAACAAAAAAAAAAUUAAGUGAGAGAAGAUGAGACAUAAAAUUUCACGAUUAACCAAAGACAAAUCAACCCAAAAUAAAUUUUUUAAGUCACCAAAAAGCAACCACUCUAGAUACGGUACCAGCACUAGUCAAGUAAAGUUAAUUCCAAGUAUCAUUCAAGUUGAACUAUUUUUGUUGUAUAUCUUGUUUCAGCUAGUUAGCUGUUCGGAUGUCAUGCCUAUUAGCCCUUCCCGACAUGUCGAUUACUAAGUCACUCAUAUAGCCUUUGGCCUCAUGUUGCAAAGCAUAAAACCUCAUGGUGAUUGAGCUUUUAGAUAAACAGUUCCUGAACUCAUAUAGUAUUCUUUCAGUCUUCUGCUCCAACAAUUAUUCUAUUCAAUCAAUGGUUCUGGUAACGAAACCUUAUGGUUCACUUGUCCUCGUCUGUGUAAAAUUAUUGAGUCAGUAGUUUGCAUACUUCAAUAAGAAUGUAAACAAGUUCAGUGUGUGGUUUUAGGUUGGUGCUUUGUUAUCAAUUAGAAAUCGCUUUGGUCACUGGAUCAAGUUAAUCACUACCAAGGCCAAUUGCAGAUUCUAUUUGGUUUAUUUAUUCUGGACAUGUUUAUCUAUGUUAUGUUUGGUCGUUUAUAGCUAUUCCCUUCUUAGUUAAGUUAGAAUGAUACUAAGGCAUGGGACAGAUUCCAAUACAGUCGACCUUUGAAUUUAGGAGGCUUCCUACUUGACAGCAAGGUUAACUAGUUAAAAAGGAAAUAUAAUAUAUCAGGCGGUAUGUGUGUUAAAAAGGAAAUAUAAUAUAGGUGGUGUGUGCUUUAAUCAAGUAGAUUGUAGAUUAAUUGGGAUAGAGUUUAAAGAAGUCAAUAACUAUGUUCUAGAUGAUUUUUAACUCAUGUAUUCUUUUUUGUUUUUCUUGGGUUUAGAUCCAGGUAUUAUGAGUCUUUAUAGUCUAAAGCAAUUUUAAUUGAAGGGUUCCUUGUGUUGGAACCAACUUCUCCCAAGUGGGCCUUAAGUUAUCUGGCCUGUGUAGCUUUGUGUUAUCCUCGGUAUUUUAAAGGAGUUUCUUCCCAACAGUCCUUUUCAGAUUUUGUUGCUUAAGCACACGGAUAAUGAAAUUUAAAUCGUGUGCGCUUGUUUUUGAAACUAUGUGAUGUUCCCGGCCUACCUGUUCUAAGUAUAUCGACUGACUCUUUGCAACGAACUAUUGUAACUUGGUUAACUUUGAGAAUAAUCCAUUCUUUUAAUUUAAUUAUGGUAAUGACCUCAUGCAUUGUUGCUGGCAGAGUACAUGCCUGGUGGAAGUCUCUAUGAUUAUUUGCACAAGAGUCGUAAUGUCUUGAAGCUUUCUGAACUGCUAAAGUUUGCAAUUCAUGUGUGCAAAGGAAUGGAGUAUUUGCAUCAUAAUGACAUCAUCCAUAGGGAUUUGAAGACAGCAAAUCUGCUAAUGGACAGUAACAAGGUAAGAAUUCAUAAUGGUAGAGUUCUGCCACUUCACGGCUAGAAUGAUCUUCUGCAGUUCAACUAUUUCAAGCAAAACAGAAAAUAAAGCAGUUUAACUUCUAACCAAACCAUAGUGCUAUGAAGAAAUGGAACCUGGUGACGUGCUUGGCACUGUUAUAAACUUAUAACCUUAUAAUGAAGUAGAAAUUUGUUAUUAUCAUCUGUAAUUAAUAUGUUAUAGCUGUUGGUUUUUCAGUUUUUCUUGAAUUUUGGGAGAGAAUAUCUUGGUCAACUAUUUCCACUGAUACUGACAUCCACUUUGUUUGAAUCAUUUUGUUGUCCUUUAAUUUAUGUUACUUUUAACCAAACAAAAAAGAAAUAAGUUAUCCAAUAUUUAAUCCAUGAUAGGAACUAUCUCAGCAGUAGCUUUCUAUAUUGGAGUCUUGGAAAAUUAACGUUCUGACUGAUGUGAUUUAUACUCCCAUUUAAAAUUUAUUUUGUGAGCAAUAAAUUGAAAAUUUGUGUAAUCCAUUCAUCUUAAAUAUCGUAAUAUGUUUCCCAUACAUCUAAUAUCGUAAUAUUGUAAUAUGUUUCCCAUAUAUCUGAUUUGUCUAAUUGUCUGUCAUGUCUUCUCUAAGGAAAACGAUACCAAAAAACUUUUUAUCAUUCAGCUCAGGAUGAGAAAAUGUUCUCCAUUUUAAAAAUAGUAACUUUUUGGAAUUCUGUUAGGUUGUAAAGGUGGCCGAUUUUGGUGUUGCUCGGUUCCAAACACAAGGGGGAGUAAUGACUGCAGAGACUGGAACCUAUAGAUGGAUGGCACCUGAGGUCUGAUUCUACUAAAUUUAAAUGCUAUUCUCAAUCUUUAAAUCUGUAAGAUCUAAGAAAAUUAGUAUUAUUGAUGUUCCAAGUUUCAAUCUCUCGACUUUCUGGUUUUGCAUUAGUACAUUGUACUGUUAUUGCUUCAAUAGGUAGCGAAUGCCUAUACUAUUUUUUUUUUCCUUUUCAUACAUUUCAAUGACUUUUGGUUUCAUACAUUUUGCAAGGUUAUUAAUCAUCAACCAUAUGAUCAGAAAGCAGAUGUGUUCAGUUUUGCCAUUGUACUUUGGGAGCUGGUCACAGCCAAAGUAUGUGUUGCAUAUCACUCCUCUCUUUCUAUGCGUGUCUGCAGGGGCAGCCACAUGUUUAGGAUAUAGAGUAAUUUAACCAGUAAAUUUUGGUUUUGCAGGUUCCAUAUGAUACAAUGACUCCAUUACAAGCUGCCUUGGGAGUUAGACAGGUUAUGGUUAAUCUGAAUAGUUUUUUUGUUUAUUUAUACAAGGUGGUGACAUACACAUGUUUUAACAUAAGUCAUGGUUGAACUUUAGCAUUUUCUCAGUGACAACUUCUUGACUUACGAACUUGAUAUGAAUAGAUGUCACAUAAACAUUUGACAUGGUUAUCCUUUCCUCUGUUUACCUCUCUUCCCUCUCUUUCUAUACUUCAUUUUAUUUUGAAAAUGAUAAUACUUGAUGCACUUCAUCGUCUUCAUUUCCUCCGGCCAAUAAAAUACAAAUAGGGGACCCACCAUACACCCUCACAAGUGUUCUACCACCUAACACAUCAUGUGUUCUUCUGUCCAGAGAAAAGAGCUAUCACGGAUACAAACUAUCUGAGAAUCCCUUCUGUAAAUAACUUCCACUUCAGACUUGUAGCAUUCGGGAAAUCAAUAAGAUGUGUUCUGCAGGUCCUCUUAAUUCUACAUAUAUGCAUCAAUUGGAGAUUAGGAGUACCUGGUUUUCUAUUUUGAACAAUGUCCUCAUGUGUUAGCUUUCCCCUUAUUCAAAGCUGUUACAUAUGCUGCGAUAACGACAUAGGAAAGGGCUAGACAAUAGAAGAAUAUCAGGUUUCUGUUGGUAUUUGUUGAUUUGCUGCUUGUAUGCCUUAGGCAUACAUCAAUCGCUAGUAUGCCUUAGGCAUACAUCAAUGGCUUUGAAAGUCUUGUUGGUGUAGAGAAUGAGGAUAAUCCGUUGAAUCAUAAACUAUAUUACAUGUUUUUCUUGCUAACAUUGUUUUUCAUUUUGUUUCUCAGGGUCUGAGACCUGAACUUCCUACUAACGCACACCCCAAACUGUUAGAAUUAAUGCAGAGAUGUUGGGAUGCAGUUCCUUCCAACCGGCCAGCUUUUUCUGACAUAGCAGUAGAACUUGAGACCCUCGCACAAGAAGUCCAGGUAGGACUCUCCGUCUGAUCUUCCUUUCUCAGGCCUCAUUGUUCUAUAACCUUCCUGAACUUAAAAGCUGGUUUGUUUCAUGAAAUCUCAGGGUAAUUCAGAAGCUGCAAAUGGCACGUGAGACUCAACUCUAAGAUGUGUGCAUCUCAAAAAUUUUCUGGAAUGUCCAUCUUCUCUUUUUGCAACAUUCCAACCGGCUCAAUUUAGGCGUUUCGGAAUUGGAUUAGGACCUUGUUUUUUUGGCAGGUUUUUCAGAUGAAUAUAGAGGUUAUAUUGUACGAGCAAAGAAAAGAGAAAGUAAGGUGUUUGAAUAUCGUUCUGGUCUGUUUUGAACUCUUUUAAGUAUAUUGUAAAAAAAAAAGUGCUUUUGAGUACGGAAAUGUAUACUUUUCCACUAGAUAUCAUGUAAGAAAGUAACAGUUUGGUUAGAUGGAAAGUUUGGUGUCAAUGUAAUCCCAACACGAUGUGCAAUUGUGUUGAAUAGUUGUAAAUUUACCUCUUUGUCUGUAUAUUUCAUCUAUCUAGUAAUUUGGUAUUUUCAGAAACUUGUGAGGCUGAAGUUGCAUGUUCUACAGAUGAAGUUUCAGUUUUCAACACAUUUGCAUACUAUACACAACGAGAACCACCAGAACCUAGUCUCCUCCUUUGAGACAUAUCACAUCUGUUUACAAUGUCUCUUGAAACUCGAACAUAACGAGUAAACUCCUUGUGGCAGCCAUAUCACACUUCACUAUUUAAUGCAUCAACUUCAAAAGCCUAACCAAUGGCCGUUAUUGACUGGGAUUGUACGUCGAUGGGUUUUAUCGAGAACCAAAAUUGUCUUUAACAUGUCCAGGAAGCUCACAGCUGGGAAGAAAUUAAGAGUUAGCUGAUCAUUGCAGAUGCAUUGUUGCUAGCUUGUGCAUUAUAUAUGAGAGAUCAAUGCAAUGCCAGAAUGGUGGCGUUAUAUCCCAGUGUGUUGACGUGACUGCCAAAUUGUCUCGUAGUUGGUGAUGGGAAUGAGAUACACUAUUUAAAUGCCAGUUGUAUUGAAUCCAAAUUUGAAGAAUUGUAGUCAUUUGUCUUCCAUAUAUGAGAUUAUGAGGUGCUAGAGAUGCAAACACACAAAGACUUGGCUAAUAUGACAUUAAUAAUUCAUUCUUGAAAAUUACUCCCUCCAUCACAACCGAUUUUUCUUUUUCUUUUAUCUUAAAAUUUUUUAAGAAGUUCUAGUUGAGUGAGAAACCUGAAACACGAAGCCACCCAAAUUUCUUCCAACAUAUUUAAGCCUAGUUUUCAUAGUUCAUGUCUUGAAUCAGUUAAAUGUCAAAAAGAUGAACUGUUGGUAAUAUUUAUCUUCUAUCAAGUUCCUUUGGUGAAAGUCAACUAAUUUCGGGCUGCUCUCUAAUUAAUCAACUGAUUUUCCCGCUACAAUACAAGCAAAUGAAAUGAGCUGCCCCCUUCGCCCUCUCUUGGAAUAUUAUUUGUACUACCGAGCCUGGACUAUAUAUACCUCCCCCAUUAGGAGAAAAUCACUCUUCUCCCCAGAUAACAACGAUUUUCUAUCAUCCAUUGUGAUUUCAUCUUAAGUCGUACCUGCGUACACUUUCCAUCACAUAAUCGUUUAUGAAAGAAUCUCAUCUUAAAUGGUACUUGAACUUUCUGUCAAAUACCUUAUUCGAAAAUGAGCAAACAUGUCAUCAUUUUGAGAAGUUGCUAUAUAUGCAAGUCAAGAAUAAACACUGUAUUUUCAGUUAAAUCUUAUUGUUCAUUUAUAAAUACUCAAAUCUUCUUGUUUAGAAAGACAACAAAGGUGUGUUGAUGUAUUAACUCAUACUAGAAUUUUCUCUUGUUUUGGUGAAAAGAUCAAUGGGUAAAAUUUGUUGCCUAAUUAACCACUUGUUCCGAGUUCCGGAUUUCUUGUUUGCGCUGUCCGGGAAUCACGUACUCCCUUUUUACUUCAUACUUCAGUACUUAUCAAUUAGUCCACCAAUUCGGGUUGUUUCUAGUGUAAUUUCAACCAUUGACUAGAGCUUUAGCAUCCAAAUUCAAGCUAACAAUAACAAAACUUGAAUUUGACACUCCAUAUAUGCAUGUUUGGUGGAAAAUACUUGGCCACUCGAGAACAGACUGUUGCCUGCCGACAAUUUUUACUCAAAUAUUUCAAAAUUCUUCAUGGACAAACUAAAAUGAUGACAGAAAGUACCGUGGUAGUACAAUUACCCGCAUGAACGUAACACUCAAUCAUAGUGUCCCCCUCCUUUCCGGUGGUAAAUAAUUGACUCUUUUCCCUCAAAAGAAUAAUAGCUGUUAACUUUUCCCUUCAAUGAAAUCAUUUGUUUAUGAAUAGGCUUUACGUACCUUCGUUUUUGAAUUGUAGUUAAUUUUGGCUUCACUGGAACAUCGAUCUAACCCAACAGAGAGAGAAACGUACAGUAUUAGAAUUCUCAACAUAACUAGCUUGAUAUUGACCUUAAGAAUUCUCAACAGUAUUAUACUCCGGCAUCCCAUGCUGAAUAAGAAACCCUAUUUCUGCGUUCAAUUAAUUAUCAAACAUGCGAGUAUAUAAAACUAUGCGGCUCCCCGAUUAAUUUGUUUCUUGGUUCAAUUAUGGGAACAAAACUAUGUCGCAUCAAACUGGAAUAUAACUUCGUAAUAGUCAAUCUAGAUGACUAGAUCCACCCUGUAAGUCCAUAUAUAUCAAUCCCAGCUGGAUACCAGAAAUAUGAAAGUGCGACUACGACCAUUAGUCAUGAAACAACAAAACAUGUCUUUCUUUUGGUUUGCCAAUUCUAACACAAUUAGAAAAACUUAAUCAUUUUGGAGAUUGCCAUAAAAUACAUGAGAACUAGCUAGCUGCACUGAAUGUGGCUGAAAUGUUGGUGAUGAUACAGUUUUUUUUAGAAGACACAAAAGUUUUGGUCCUUUGGCGUUUUCUUGUUAACAUAACCAACAUUCCAGCCACAUUCAUCAUCUCUUAUAAAUAUAUUUUACAAAAUAUAUAUUUAUAUAUGAUUUUUUUGACAAAAUAUAUAUUUAUAUAUGUCUUUUUUGUUUAAUCGGAGAAACAAAAUCAUUUGUAAAGUCUCCUUUUACAGAUGGGUUCACGUACACAUUCAUCAUUGCAAAUGGUAUUGUUAAUUAGCCGACAUAUAAUUAGCCGAUAUAUGUACGUAAUCGAAAUCAGAAUAAGCUACCUGCUCCUCAAAUUAAACUAUAAUUAAGUUUGUAUUUUAUGGUUUGGUAAUAAAAAAGAUAACAAGGUACAGAAUACGACCUUUCAGAAGAGCGAGGAGCGAGGUUGUUUUGUUAGAAUAGAACUUUUCCAUGGAUCGGUGGACACGAGGUCAGAUCGACUUGCUAAUUGUUUACUUAUAGUUUUAUAUCAGACCAUAUGUACUAUAAUUAAGUCGAUUAUUGUUCUAGUUUAUAAUCAAUGUAUGUUAUUAUAUGAUGUCCGAUUGAUAUUUGUAGAGGCAUAUGUGGUACGUGAGGUUUGGGGGAGUGAAGACUAGCUACGCUCAGCACAUGAACAUCACACGCAUCACGGUCUGCCUUAUUUUCCUUCAGAAAUGAGUCAAUGACCAUGUNNNNNNNNNNNNNNNNNNNNGAGAGAGAGAGAGAAAAAUAGAAGAAUCUACCUAUUUUACCUAUUUUGUGGACCUUCUUUCGAUCUAUAGCAAUCAAAUUGACAAAAGUCCAAUUAGAUAUGGCCUUUUUCUUUUAUUUUUUUAAAUAUAACAAUAUAACAAUGAUAAGAGAAAUUUUAUUAACGCAUCCCUAAUUACUAGAUACAAUUACUAGAUACAUAUCUCAUACUUAAUAUACCUAUUAACUUUCUUGUUUUAACAUUUUACUAUGAUACACAUACCAAACUUUCUACAAUACCCUCAUUUAACAUACAUAACUUAUUCACUAAAUUUAACAUACACAACUCAUUCACUAAAUACACAACACAUUUACUACACAUACUUUUCUAGAUCGGCUACACAAUUUAUUCAAAAAAUAAAUAAAUCAUAUUACUGAGAUUUUUCUCAAAAUGUUUAUCUUUCCUCGUAUUGUUUCACCUUAUUGACAUAUUCCUCAAAUGUUUUUAUUUUUUUCUCUAAAGGGUUUUACCUUGUUAAGAUCUUCCUUGAGGGAUUUCCUUUUGUUAACAUCUUCUCCCAUUAGUCUUCCUCGAUAAAUUUUCUUCUGAAGGAGCCUCUGCUUACUCAAAUUGAUUUCAAGAUUUCUUACCGAAUCAAAACAAAACAAGAUAAUACAUCACCAAAGUCCUUAACGGAACUUUUAGUAUUAGAAUGUACGUUCAAUCCUGUGUAAAACUAAAUUAAUCGAUUCUUGGGAACCAUUGCAUAAUAUUCAUAUGUGGUGUCAAAAUAUUGUUACUCGAUUCAAGCUAAAAAUUUAAAAUGUUUGAAGUGAACGUUUUAAUUAAACAAAAUAUUUUAUUUCAACUAAGUUUCUUUACCUUUGAUUUGAAUGUCUUUUUUGGUUUUACGUACCCACAAAGUCUUAUAUAAUUUAUAUAAAAAAAAGAGAUGUAUAUUUAGCAUUUAGGGAUGUGUUAAUAAAAUUUCUCCAAUAAUAAUAACUACUUAUUCUCUUUAGCAGCAAAAGCCAAAUAGCUAGUUUCCCUAUACAUACACUGAUGCACAAUGUGUCUUUUUUAUUAUUAUUAUUGAAAUGAAUGGUUCUUUAAUUUCUUUCUUUCUUUUUCUGAAGUUGCCCUGCUAGCUAGUUACAUAUAUACUUGCAUAGUUGCAUGUCUUUGUAUGAGUUGUGCUUGUGCAUGCACUUGUAUAUUCUUACUUUCGCGUAGCUAGCUGGAUGAAAAGAGAUAGAUAGACACCAUCUCCAAUUCGCACAGAAUCUUGAAAUAACGAGCUCGACAACGAUGAGAAUCCAAUAUCUGUCCAUGAAAAUGAGAUAUACCUAGCUAUUAUUAUGUUCUUGUAUUAGGAAAUUCCCGAAUUAAGCAUAUAUAGCAAAGUAUAAAUGGACCCUGUAUAUAUAGUGGUCACAUAUACAAAGUUGAAGCAUUAUAGUUUAUAUAUAUAUAUAUAUAUAUAUAUAUAUAUUGAUCAAAUGAAUAAAAGUCAUAUAUUGGUUCUACAAACUAAACUUAGGGGAUCGAUAUAGUAAAACUUCAUGAGAGCCCUGGCUGUAAAGUUAACAUCUGCAUCUACAUUACUUUAGAAUCAUUUUCCAACAAGAUUCUCAUGUAAACAAAUUAUAAGAUAGAUGUAGUUGAUUGACAUCACUAUCAUGGUAACUAAUUCAUGUUUUUAAUUUACAAAGAUAUUUGUGAUAGAUUACAUAUAUAUGUAUCUUCAAGCUGGAUUCACAGAAUAGAUGGCUUGACUUUGAAAUUAAGAGGGAGGGUGGAACAAAAAUAUAAAACCAAUUAAAGAAACAUAUAUAUGAUUAAUUGAAGGUGGUUUUGCAGACAUUGUUUUGAUCUGAAAAUAUUGUUCCAAUUGAAGAUAAGAUAACGUUAUCAAUCAUAGUGACAGUGCAGAGGAAAUUUAGAUGCCCCGAUUUUCCUCCUACAAAUUUGAGAAGAAAUUAAGAGAUCUGUUUAAAGUCGACAUUAGGCACUAGUCCAUGCAUUCCAGCAGACCAUAUGAGAUCGUUGCCAGGUCCCAUGGAAUUCUCAAUCAAACACCGAACGAUUUGUUUCGUAGCAUUUAAAUUAUGAAGAAGAAGUGAGAAUGAGGAUGAUUAUUCAACUAACUUCACUAUCCAACAAUCUUUUCUUAGGUAUACAGAAAUGGUCUAUAAAUGGAAGUCGAUUGUGGUCAACAUCACCCAAUUGAAUUGGGAGAAAUUAAAUAUACGUGGACACAUUUCACUCAUAUAGGGGAGCAGAUUCAAUACACUAAUGUACAUUUGCACUAUCAAUGUAAAAGUCACAUGAUUGAAGAUGCAGAGAUAUAAUGAAGACUGGAAACGUUCAAUUCCUUCCUCUGAUAUUUUCAUUUUCGAUCCGAUUAGAUUAAAUGCUCACAACUUCUUUAACCUCAGAUACGAUCCUCACCUUCUGUGUUUGAAACACUUGGACGUACUAGUUUUUUCAGUUUCAAUUUUGUUAACGGCGUUAUAUAAAUACAUUAUAGUGUCACAUGCAGGGAUGACUAUAGAUGAAAUAAUUAAAAGGUUGAGAUUGCAUAUUAAGUGUUCGGUUCACUUGCAUCUUGGUGUCAGUGGCGUAGCUAGAAACCACAAGUAGAAGGGUCAAGAGUUUAAACAAUAAUGCCACACAAAAUAAAAAUAUAAUUUUUAUUAAAUAAUAUAAAAACUUAUAAAUCAUUAGAAUACUUUGAAAACAAAAGCUAAAUAAAAUAACAAAUCUCCCUAAAGUAAUUAUAAUUGUCCUCGACGAUUACUCAUAUUUUGAAAUUUUGGAGGAGCUUCAGAAGGAGUCGACUGUUCUACUACUUUUAUCUUACGAUACUUUUCAAAUAAGACUAAAACAUCCAUAAUUACAAGUUUUUAAUUAUGAAGGUUGUCGACGACAGGGAAAAAUUUAUUAAAGGAUAACAAAAAGAAAUACGUAAAGAAGCGACUAAAACUGUUAAUAUAGAGGUGCACGAGAAAUCAAUCACAAUAAUUGAUUGAUUAGGAAAACAUAUUAAUUAAAAAGACAAAAAAAAAAGACUAGGAAUAUGUUUUAAUUGUAAUAUUAAAGGGAGAUGCAAUCAAUCAUUGAUUCGGAUUAGAAACCUAUAUUAAAAAAAAAUAAGAGAACCACACGUAACAAACACACGUGAGGAGUUGAACACUCCUCUGUCCAAAUUGAUUGUUGUAAUUAAUAUUUUAUAUGCCAAACUUUUCUUUAAUUAGUUAGAAGGGUCAAAAUAUAUAGUGUCAACAUCACAUUUCAACUGACAAAUUAGAUAACAAUAUGACCUAAUAAAAAAUGUGAGGGAGGUUAGCUGAACCCCUUAACCCCCCUUCCCUACGCCCCUGCUUGGUGUGUGCAAGAAAUUUUGAGUUUAUAUAUACAAGAUGUGGCGCAAUGUUGAUUUGUAUUUUCUUUAAUUAAUUGCAGUAAUUAUUGAGAAAAAUAAUUAAGAAGAAGUGAAGUUAUUUAAUAGAAUACGUAAUUCUAUUGUGCAUGUUUGUGGGUACAUAUGUGACUUGAUUGUUUUAAGUUUUUAAUAAACGAUUGAGUUACAUGAUGAGUUUAUUUCGUGUUAACAAAUUGACAUGCAAAUGAUUCUCUUUUCAAUUUUGUUUAUAUAUUCUGAUAGUUUUGGAGUCAUGUAAUUAAAUAAUUAAUUCUUGUCGGAUUAAGAAGCCUAAUGAGAGAGCUCUGUUCUCACAGUGUUACUACACACUUUUCACUUCGUCUGAUAAUAUAAUGCCCCUGAUUUGCUAGUUUCCCCAAUUUUGUUUUUUGUCGUUGGUUGAAACGUGAUACUACCGGUGAUAGGAUCAAGGCUUUAACUGAUUUAUAAGUGAUGUACUUGUGAAUAGUUCGACAUAAUUCUUUGGUAAUUAAGGUUAAGAAUGAAUUACGCUGAAUCGAACUGGAGUACGUUUGAGACUUUGAUCUCAUUCCAUAAUCAAGUCGAGCUUGAUCGAUGGAUCAAGGGGCGGAUCCAGGAAUCGCAAUCGGGUGGGACUUGGAUUUUUAGUAGGAAAAUAUUUUUGACGGUGGUAGAGAAAUUUAUAGAUUGAAAAUAAAGAUAAACUUAGUCAUAAGGACGUAGUGGGCCUUUACCACUCCAAUGUUUGUUUAAUUUAUAAAACACUUUAGACGUAACAAAAAAAAAACUAAAUAAGCAUUUCAAUAAGACCGACAACCUCGCGUCCUCAUCGAUGCUGCGUGACAAGGGUAUGGCAAGGAAGAAAAGAAGACAACAGACAACAUAAACGUAUAUCUUUUUUGAGAAGAUAGAGAAACUUAUCUCUUUCUUUAAUAAAAAUGAAAUUAAGUGUACGUUAGUCACUUGGAUCACGUCAAUGCUAGCUAGGACUUGAGUGAGACUAUCCCAAAAAAUAUUUGAUUAGUAAUUGUACAAGAUGAAGGAAUUUGAGUGGGACUUAGACUCAACAAUCUUACAAUCACACUAUAAAAUUAAUGAUAACUAUAAGUAAUAAUUUUUUUUCCCAAAAUAUUUGGGUGGGACUUGAGUCCCAUGGUGCUUGUACCUAGAUCCGCCCCUCAUGGAUGAAGGAAACAACCUUAUAUAUUUAGGAGUUAUGAACCGAUCACAAACAAUGUUCACUACUUGUUUAACUUGGUGAAAAUUCUAUGGUACGUACGAUUAUAUAUAUAUANNNNNNNNNNNNNNNNNNNNNNNNNNNNNNNNNNNNNNNNNNNNNNNNNNNNNNNNNNNNNNNNNNNNNNNNNNNNNNNNNNNNNNNNNNNNNNNNNNNNNNNNNNNNNNNNNNNNNNNNNNNNNNNNNNNNNNNNNNNNNNNNNNNNNNNNNNNNNNNNNNNNNNNNNNNNNNNNNNNNNNNNNNNNNNNNNNNNNNNNNNNNNNNNNNNNNNNNNNNNNNNNNNNNNNNNNNNNNNNNNNNNNNNNNNNNNNNNNNNNNNNNNNNNNNNNNNNNNNNNNNNNNNNNNNNNNNNNNNNNNNNNNNNNNNNNNNNNNNNNNNNNNNNNNNNNNNNNNNNNNNNNNNNNNNNNNNNNNNNNNNNNNNNNNNNNNNNNNNNNNNNNNNNNNNNNNNNNNNNNNNNNNNNNNNNNNNNNNNNNNNNNNNNNNNNNNNNNNNNNNNNNNNNNNNNNNNNNNNNNNNNNNNNNNNNNNNNNNNNNNNNNNNCACAUAUCAACAUCUCCACCGUUCAAUAUUUAGAUGUAUAUAUGUAGAUCAUUUCUGCAAAAUUUCAUCCCAUUUGGUGAUCGUUAAGGCUUCGAACUAACUGAAAUCAAUUGAUGGAUCAAAUCUGCCAAACCUGAACCGUUCAUGCCUAUAAUUUUAAUUCGCAGUUUUGAACACCUUAACGAUCACCAAUUUGGAUGAAAUUUUGCAGAAGUGAUCUACAUAUUAGGACCUAAAAACUGAACGGUUAAGAUUGAAAAAUGUGAUUGAAAAGUAGAUCUAAUGCUUGAUCCCUUAUAUAUGUCAAAAAAAAGGAUCCUUUAGUAGAAGGGCCCUCAUUAAUAUAUAUAGCAGGGUAGCUGUGCAGAGAAUUAAUAAUGCAUCGCAUGCUUAUUCAAUCUUCUGGACUCUGGACUCUCUUAACUUACUGGAGCCAUGGCCAUGGCCAUGACCAAAGCUCUAGCUAAUCCAUGGUCCAAACUCUUUAUUUACAUGUAGAGAAUAAGACAAACUGACUGACUCAUGUCAGGGACUCAGGCCAGCUUGCUUUCUCUGCUGAGCAUUCCAUUAUUUUGCAGCCUCUUUACCCUCCGUCCUUUUGGUAAUGUUUAGGUAGAAAUUUAUACCUCUGCUCUCGAUGUACAACCUAAUUUUAACUUACUAGGGUAAAAACACUCGAUACUCAUAAAUCUGUAUCAUGGUUUCUGCUUUUCUGGGUCAAGAUGGUUAUUGCGCCAUGACAGUAGUACUGAAUUUCUGCAUAUUGGAAACAAAGAUUACUUGUAAUAUCAUUUCAGGAAUCGAAGUCCAUGUUGUUACUCCAUCAAAUUAAACAAGUGUCUACUUGUUUUUUUUGUCGACGAACAUAUAAUACGAAUGCAUGUUGAAGAUGAAUUUCUGCAUAUAAUUAUAUAUAUAAGCCGGAUGUAGAGCGCACGUGUGCACCGGCUUAAAGUGCGCACGUCAUUCCAUUCGCCACCGUCCGGCGCCGACGACGGCGCGCCUCCACCCCAGCGGACUCCAGCAGCAUCCCCGAUCACUUUCCCUCCCCGACGAGUCUGCCGAAUUCCAGUUUCUGGCGAGAUCGACUUUAUUUAAAGUUUUAGGUGAUCUCGUCGAAAAACUGAAAAAACUUUAAAUAAAGUUAAUCUCGUCGAAAAACUGAAAAAAAACGGACUCGUCAGGAAAGAAAAAUAAUCGAAGAUGUUGCUGGAGUCUUCUGGGGUGGAGGCGCACCGUUGUCAGCGUCGAACGAUAACGAACAGAGAAAUAUGCACACUUUAUGAAGAGUGCACACGUGCGUACUCUAUCGUUUUCGUGUAUAUAUAUACGCCAAAAAGCUAAAUUCAUGCCGUAACUAAUCCACUCCAAAAGAAUUAUUGAAGCGCUGAAAGCAUAAGUAUGCAUGAUACGGAUCUCUGCAUGUUGAUCCUUUUGGUGACACGUUUUUCUGUUUUCCAGAUUUUCAAUUGCAUGGAGGGUCCAAUCAUCUGGCCCUCAUAUGAAUACGUGUGAUCAUAUUUCAGAACAAAGACUAGCUAGGGCAGCUGUUUUUUCUUUCACUUUAUUCAUUUUCUUCUUGGUACAUAUGAUCAAAGUUGUGUCAAAUUAUUAAGCAUAUAUAAGUCACAAUCGAACCAGGAUAAAGGAAAAGAAAAAAGAAAAAGGAGAUCGAAUAAGCCAGAAAGAAAUAAGAUCGAGAAAGGAACAUUUGGGAAAUGGUAUUGAAAUUUAUGUUUAUUAUUCACGUACGUGAUCUCAUCCAUUGGGAAGAAAGGGUGAAACAAACAAACGACAUAGAUACAACAUAUAUGUAAUUAAUCGAAGAUUAUGGGAAGUGCACUACAACUGUCGAAUACAUGGAAAUUGAGAGAUUGAUGAUGAAACUUCCUCCUAAUUUAGGAAUAAUAAAAACUAAAAACAUUCACAUCACACACGCGGAGACUCGCUAGCUUUUCUGCUCGAUCUUGCUCGUGUGUGCAUGAUUGAUGAGGUUUCCUUUCUUCCUUGGACGUCCCCUUCUUUAUUUCUUCUUGGUCUUCUUCUUCACCGUUACCUGUAAUUGAUGGAAGUAAAGAGGAUAGCUUAAGAUAUGCUUAUUCAAAAGAAACAGUAGCAAAUCACUGAACUUGAUAGCGGACUAUAAGGAUAUAUUGAGAUUAAUUACCAGGAGGCAAGUGAGCUCAUUAUCUAGUAGUGGUGAGGAGGAGGAGGUGAGGAGUAGAUGUAAGCCGGUGGAGUGUGAACGGGAGGAGUAGGAGGCUUGUAAGGCUUCGUUGGUGGUGGUGGUGGUGGUGGUGGUGACUUGUAGUGGUAUGGAAUGUGGGGUGGAGAGUAGACUGGAGGAGGAGGAGAAGGCGGUGGUGGAGACUUGUAGUGGUAAGGCGGUGACUUGGGAGGGUAGUGGGGGUGCUUAGGUGGUGAGUACACUGGUGGUGUUGGGGAUGGUGGUGGCUUAGGAGGGUAAUGGGGGUGCUUGGGUGGUGAGUACUUGGGUGGUGUUGGAGAGGGUGGUGACUUGGGAGGGUAGUGAGGAUGCUUGGGUGGUGAGUACACUGGUGGUGUUGGUGAGGGUGGUGACUUGGGAGGGUAAUGAGGGUGCUUGGGUGGUGAGUAGACCGGUGUCUUAGGUGGUGACUUGGGGGGGUAGUAGGGGUGGUGAGGUGGUGAGUAGACUGGCGUUGGUGGUGGAGGAGACUUGUAGUGGUAUGGCUUCUUUGGUGGUGGUGGUGAGUGAUGUGGGUGGUAGGGCUUCUUGUGUGGUGGCGGGGGUGGUGGAGACUUGUAGUGGUAAGGCUUCUUCGGUGGUGGUGGAGGUGGUGGAGACUUGUAGUGGUAUGGCUUCUUUGGUGGUGGUGGUGAGUGGUGUGGAUGGUAGGGCUUCUUGUGUGGUGGGGGUGGUGGAGGAGACUUGUAAUGGUAAGGGACCUUCGGUGGUGGCGGUGAUGGAGGAGGAGGAGACUUGUAGUGGUAAGGCACCUUAGGUGGUGGUGGUGAUGGAGGAGGAGGAGACUUGUAGUGGUAUGGCACCUUUGGUGGUGGUGGUGACGGAGGUGGUGGAGAUUUGUAGUGGUAGACAGGUGUCUUUGGUGGCGGGUACACCGGAGGCUUGGGAGGUGACUUGGGAGGGUAAUGUGGGUGCUUAGGAGGAGAGUACACCGGAGGCUUAGGUGGUGACUUUGGUGGGUAAUGGGGAUGCUUAGGCGGCGAGUACACCGGUGGUGUGGGUGAGGGUGGUGACUUUGGUGGGUAAUGAGGAUGCUUUGGUGGAGAGUACACCGGAGGCUUAGGCGGUGACUUGGGAGGAUAGUAAGGAUGAUGGGGUGGUGCGUAGUGCACUGGUGGCGGAGGCGGCGGUGGUGACUUGUAGUGGUAAGGAGGAGAAGCAGGUGGUGGAGGAGAGGAGUAAGGGUAGUUUGCGGAGGUUUGCGAGGCAAAAGCGACUAAUGCCACUAGAAGACUGAAAACUAGAGAGGUCCCCAUUUUCCCCAUCCUUGUGGGUUUAAGAGGAGAUGGAUUUUGGUUUUCUGCUCUAUAUGCGAAGCCUCUACGCCCUUUAUAUAGCUUUGGUGUUUACCCAUCUAAUCAAACUAAGGGUAAAAUAUAGUAAUCAUCAUCAUGUGCCAAAUUUACAUGCCCAAUUAUCAGUCCUCUUUGGUGUAAAACAAGAUUAGCUAGUGUUAAAAAAACACAAAUAGGGGGCCAGCAAGUAUUGACUGGAAAUAUUUUGUUGAUUGAAUUUGAAGAAUAAAACCUAGCUAACCUAUAUAUUAUACAGUGCCAUCUAUCAAAACGAGCAAUUUUUCCAUAGCUUAGUUAAUUAGUUGGUAUAUUUAUUCUCUGGUUUUCAUGAAUGAUUGAGAAAGAGAGAACAAGCUUCGAAAACGUGUGUGGGUUUUGCCCAACUUUUUCUGAUUCUCGCUGUGCCGAGGACCAGGCGGCUUUGCUCUAUCUGGUCUGUCACAGUCACAUUUUGCAUGGCAUUACUCGAAUUUUUUUCUCUGAUUAAUGUUUUGGGGUGGAUUGAAGUGCCUAUUUGCCUUAAUCAAACGUGGUUUAUCACUAAUUAAUCACUUACAAAGACGAAUUAGGUGUCAUAAUUGCAAUGAAUGAUAACUAGAUAUUGUCUCUACUCUUAACUUGUUGUUCCAAACUAGUAGUAUAAACCAAUUAAGUAGAAUUUAUCGUUUAGACCAUUAACAAAGACUAGCUAGCUAUAAGAUCAAAACAAUUCUUUGAAAGGAGAAAAAUGUUAAUUAAACUAGAGUUGA